UUUUUUUUUUUUUAAGUUUUCAGAACCCUCCUGGAUAAUGGGACUUAGUUUUCAGUUUUCAGGGCCUUCCUAGAUAAUGGGAUGUAGUUUUAGGUUUUCAGGACCCUCCUGAAUAACGGGAUUUAAUUUUAAGUUUUCAGGACCCUCCGGGAUAAUGAGAUUCAGUUUAAGGUUUUCAGGACUCUUCUGAAUAACGAGAUUUAAUUUUUAUGUUUUUAGGACCCUCCUAGAUAAUGAGAUUUAUUUUCAAUUUUUUAGGACCCUCCUGGAUAAUGAGAUUUAGUUUUAGUUUUUCAGGACCCUCCUGGAUAAUAGGAUCUAGUUUUAAGCUUUCAGGACCCUCCUGGAUAAUGGGAUUUAGUUUUAAGUUUUCAGGAAUCUCCUGGAUAAUGGGAUUUAGUUUUAAGCUUUCGGUACCCUCUUGGAUAAUGAGAUUUAGUUUUACGGUUUCAGGACCCUCCUGGAUAAUGGGAUUUGAUUUUAAGUUUUUAGGACCCUCAUGGAUAAUGGGAUUUAGUUUUAAGUUUUGAGGAUUCUCCUCGAUAAUGUGAUUUAGUUUUAAGUUUUUAGGACCCUCCUCGGUAAUGAGAUUUAGUUUUAAAUUUUCGGGACCAUCAUGGAUAAUGGGAUUUAGUUUUAAGCUUUCAGGACCUUCCUGAAUAAUGAGAUUUAGUUUUAAGCUUUCAGGACCCUCCUCGAUAAUGAGAUUUAUUUUUAUGUUUUUGGGACCCACCUAGAUAAUGAGAUUUAGUUUUAUGUUUUGAGGACCCUUCUAGAUAAUGAGAUUUAGUUAUAAGUUUUCAUGACUCUCCUCGAUAAUGGGAUUUAGUUUUAAGUUUUCAGGACCCUCCUGGAUAAUGAGAUUUAGUUUUAAGUUUUCAUGACCCUCCUAAAUAAUGAGAUUUAGUUUUAAGGUUUUAGGACCCUCCUGGAUAAUGGGAUUUAAUCUUAAGUUUUCAGGACCCUCUGGGAUAAUGGGAUUUAGUUUUAUGCUUUCAACACCCUCCUGGAAAAUGGGAUUUAGUUUUAAACUUUGAGGACCCUCCUGGAUAAUGGGAUUUAGUUUUAAGUUUUCAGGACCCUCAUAAAUAAUGAGAUUUAGUUUUAAGGUUUCAGGACCCUCUUGGAUAAUGGGAUUUAGUCUUAAGUUUUCAGGACCCUCCUAGAUAAUGGGAUUUAGUUUAAGUUUCGAAACUCUCCUGGAUAAUGGGAUUUAGUUUUAUGUUUUGAGGACCCUCCUAGAUAAUGGGAUAUAGUUUUAAAUUUUCAGGACCCUCCUCGAUAAUGAGAUUUAGUUUUAAGUUUUAAGGACCCUCCUAGAGAAUGGGAUUUAAUUUUAGGUUUUCAGGACCCUCAUGAAUAAUGAGAUCUAGUUUUUUUGAAGUUUUCAGGACCCUCCUGGAUAAUGUGGAUUUAGUUUUUUUGUUUUAAAGACCCUCCUGGAUAAUGUGGAUUUUGUUUUUUAUUUUUAGGACCCUCCUGGAUAAUGGGAUUUAGUUUUUAGUUUUCAGGACACUCCUAGAUAAUGAGAUUCAGUUUUAGGUUUUCAGGACACUUCUGAAUAACGAGAUUUAAUUUUUAAGUUUUCAAGACCCUCCUAAAUAAUGAGAUUUAUUUUCAAGUUUUCAGGACCCUCCUGGAUAAUGAGAUGUAUUUUCAAGUUUUCACGACCCUCCUGGAUAAUGAGAUUUAGUUUUAAUUUUUCAGGACCCUCAUGAAUAAUGGGAUCUAGUUUUUUUGAAGUUUUCAGGACCCUCCUGGAUAAUGUGGAUUUAGUUUUUUGUUUUCAGGACCCUCCUAGAUAACGUGGAUUUAGUUUUUUUAUUUUUAGGACCCUCCUAGAUAAUGGGAGUUAGUUUUCAGUUUUCAGGACACUCCUAGAUAAUGGGAUUCAGUUUUAGGUUUUCAGGACCCUUCUCAAUAACGAAAUUUAAUUUUUAAGUUUUCAGGACCUUACUAGAUAAUGGGAUUUAGUUUUAAUUUUUCAAGACCAUCCUGGAUAAUGGGAUCGAGUUUUAAGCUUNNNNNNNNNNNNNNNNNNNNNNNNNNNNNNNNNNNNNNNNNNNNNNNNNNNNNNNNNNNNNNNNNNNNNNNNNNNNNNNNNNNNNNNNNNNNNNNNNNNNNNNNNNNNNNNNNNNNNNNNNNNNNNNNNNNNNNNNNNNNNNNNNNNNNNNNNNNNNNNNNNNNNNNNNNNNNNNNNNNNNNNNNNNNNNNNNNNNNNNNNNNNNNNNNNNNNNNNNNNNNNNNNNNNNNNNNNNNNNNNNNNNNNNNNNNNNNNNNNNNNNNNNNNNNNNNNNNNNNNNNNNNNNNNNNNNNNNNNNNNNNNNNNNNNNNNNNNNNNNNNNNNNNNNNNNNNNNNNNNNNNNNNNNNNNNNNNNNNNNNNNNNNNNNNNNNNNNNNNNNNNNNNNNNNNNNNNNNNNNNNNNNNNNNNNNNNNNNNNNNNNNNNNNNNNNNNNNNNNNNNNNNNNNNNNNNNNNNNNNNNNNNNNNNNNNNNNNNNNNNNNNNNNNNNNNNNNNNNNNNNNNNNNNNNNNNNNNNNNNNNNNNNNNNNNNNNNNNNNNNNNNNNNNNNNNNNNNNNNNNNNNNNNNNNNNNNNNNNNNNNNNNNNNNNNNNNNNNNNNNNNNNNNNNNNNNNNNNNNNNNNNNNNNNNNNNNNNNNNNNNNNNNNNNNNNNNNNNNNNNNNNNNNNNNNNNNNNNNNNNNNNNNNNNNNNNNNNNNNNNNNNNNNNNNNNNNNNNNNNNNNNNNNNNNNNNNNNNNNNNNNNNNNNNNNNNNNNNNNNNNNNNNNNNNNNNNNNNNNNNNNNNNNNNNNNNNNNNNNNNNNNNNNNNNNNNNNNNNNNNNNNNNNNNNNNNNNNNNNNNNNNNNNNNNNNNNNNNNNNNNNNNNNNNNNNNNNNNNNNNNNNNNNNNNNNNNNNNNNNNNNNNNNNNNNNNNNNNNNNNNNNNNNNNNNNNNNNNNNNNNNNNNNNNNNNNNNNNNNNNNNNNNNNNNNNNNNNNNNNNNNNNNNNNNNNNNNNNNNNNNNNNNNNNNNNNNNNNNNNNNNNNNNNNNNNNNNNNNNNNNNNNNNNNNNNNNNNNNNNNNNNNNNNNNNNNNNNNNNNNNNNNNNNNNNNNNNNNNNNNNNNNNNNNNNNNNNNNNNNNNNNNNNNNNNNNNNNNNNNNNNNNNNNNNNNNNNNNNNNNNNNNNNNNNNNNNNNNNNNNNNNNNNNNNNNNNNNNNNNNNNNNNNNNNNNNNNNNNNNNNNNNNNNNNNNNNNNNNNNNNNNNNNNNNNNNNNNNNNNNNNNNNNNNNNNNNNNNNNNAUAAUGGGAUUUAGUCUUAAGUUUUCAGGAUUAUAAUUAUAUAUAUAUAUAUAUAUCUUUAAUUAUAUAUAUUAAGUUAGCAAGAAAGAUAAAAAAAUCACGUUCAUGUAGUAUGUUAGCAAAACAGAAAUAUAUACUCAAAAUACAAAAAUGGAGGACAAUAUUUCAUUCAUUAAAAGUCAAUACUCAAAACAAACUACUCAAAAAUAUUUUUAAAGUACUCAUGGCAUAGUCAACACCAAGAUCAUCUUCAUUAAGUACAUUUGAAUCCUCUUGUGAAACAAAGAUGUCUUAACAUCUUUAUUUUUAUCUAAAUAUAUAAUUAUAUGCAAUGUUAAUUAGUUAACAUUAAAAAAUAACUAAAAUUUUAUGAACAAAAAAUAUUUAUAUUCGCAUGAAAAAAAUAUUACCAGUUUGAGAUUACAUUACUUUUUUUUUUGUUGUUAUUUUUAGUUUCUUAUAUUUUUAUAUUUUUAAUUAAAUACGUUAUUAAGCCCACGGCCCGGCCCGGCCCAAACUCGGUCAAGCCUCAUGGGUCACUGGCUUAUUUGGGUGGGGUUAAAAGCCUCGUUUAUAAAUGAACUCCAAAAAUCUUAGCCAACCCUAUUAAAUUACGUGUUCGGUUGGACCGGCCUAUCGGGUCAAGCCCAUAUUGACGGCUCUAUUAAGCACCAUGUUGCGGCCCUAAUAUUAAUGUCGAUACUAAAUGAAAAAUAAAAAAUUAAAAGGUAUGACGAUUCAACAAUUUAAAUUUCUAACACAAUUGGUUUUCUCAAAUAAAAAAAUACUACAAUCAAACAUUAUUUGUCUCGUUAAAUCACAAUUAGAAUUGUAGUCUUUAGGUGAAGUUUCUUUUACUUUCUUUAAUUAAUUCAAGAAAAAGAACUUGAGUUGUUCAUGUAAAAAAAUUAUUAAUAUAGUCAAAAUUCAGGAUUAAUGUUGAAAUCGUACCAAGUAGCCACAUUUAAUGUUACUAUUUGGAACAUAAUCAUAUUUUAUACUACCCGUUCCAGUUUAUGUGAACCUAUUUCCUUUUUGGUCCGUUCAAAAAAGAAUGACCCAUUUCUAAAUUUGGAAAUAAUUUUGCUUAAACUUACAAUUCUACCCUUAAUGAGAAGCUUUUAUAACCACACAAAUACUCCGGUCCCCUUUUUGAAUUGUUUAGGACCACAAAUUCCAAAAGCAUUCAUUUUUUCUUAAACUCCGUGCCCAGUCAAACAGGUUCACAUAAAUUGGAACAGAGUGAAUAAUGUAUUAAAAUUUUAGUCAUUUCGCUGUUGCUUCCUCCUCCACUCUCAUGAAUACCUUGACAAAUCUUUUAUAAAUUUCAAACAUUAACCUACCUUAAUUUAUCUGACUUAUCAAGUCAAAAUACUAUAAAAACUUAAAUUAUCAUGACAAAGAAAAUUAAUGUUGCAUUAUUUUUUAUGGUUUAUCACAAAAUUGCAGUUAAACCGAAUUGCUAAAACUUUGAACUUAUUAUACUUGAGGUCCCGAAACAUAUCUCUGCCGCUUUAUAAAAAUUAUGACUAUACAGAGUACAGACCAAAAAAAAAUAAAAAUAUAUGACUAUAUUUUAAAUAUUCAGAUUAUUAGCAAUCGUAAAAGUGGCUAUUAGUGCACUUGCCCAUUAUUUCUCGGACUGGUCCAAUAAAUACAUGAAAAUUCGAAAGAGACCCCCAAAUUUUGCGAAGUCAUGUCUUCACUUCUCUACACUCGCAGUCGCUUCUCUGCCGCUCUUAGAGUAUUCACUCUGCGCAGAUUUUCUUCCACAGUCACUUGUAGUAAAACUCCUUAAACUCCCACUUUUCUCUUUCUCUUUAAAAUAUUUAUGCUUUUUUUUUUUUAAUUCUUUUGAUUUUAUGCAGAUGCUUCAGAAGAAGAGAAAGUCACUGAUGCAACUGAACAAAAUUCAAGAUUCAUUCACCCCUCUUCAGUUAUUCAUCCAAGUGCUAUUUUGGGUGAUGUAAAGUUACAUUCUUUUGUAUCUUUAUGCCUUUCUGUUCAUGAAAAUCUCAAGUCUUUAGCAUUUUUUUAUGUCAAGAGCAGCAUUUAUUUUUUGCCUAAUUAGUUAAUCAAUGGAUUUAUUAUAGCGACCGGGCCAGACGCAAUUCCGAUUGAAUUUUAGAAGUGUGUGGGCAUAGCAGCCUUGGAGUGGCUGACUGGGCUGUUUAAUGUUAUUUUUAGGACGAAGAGGAUGCCGGAAGAGUGGAGGUGGAGUACGGUGGUUCCGUUGUAUAAGAACAAAGGUGAUAUCCAGAGUUGUAACAAUUAUAGGGGUAUCAAAUUACUGAGUCAUACCAUGAAAGUUUGGGAGAGCGUGGUUGAAGCGAGGGUGAGGAGGACAGUGUCUAUAUCCGACAAUCAAUUCGGGUUUAUGCCGGGGCAUUCUACUACGGAAGCUAUACACCUUAUUAGGAGGUUGGUGGAACGGUACAGGGAGAGGAAGAAGGAUCUGCACAUGGUGUUUAUUGAUUUAGAAAAAGCGGACGACAAGGUUCCUAGAGAAGUUCUAUGGAGAUGCUUAGAGGCAAAAGGCGUGCCGGCUGCCUACAUUUGGGCAAUUAAGGACAUGUAUGAUGGGGCUAAGAUUCGGGUUAGGACGGUAGGAGGCGACUCUGAGCAGUUUCCAGUUGUUAUGGGGCUACACCAAGGUUCUGCGCUCAGCCUGUUCUUAUUUGCCCUGGUGAUGGACGCGUUAACACACCAUAUUCAAGGGGAGGUGCCAUGGUGUAUGUUAUUCGCCGAUGACAUAGUUCUGAUUGAUGAGUCGCGAACCAGUGUUAACGAGAGGUUUGAGGUCUGGAGACAGGCCCUUGAGUCUAAGAGUUUCAAGCUGAGCAAGACGAAGACGGUAUACCUGGACUGUAAGUUCAGCACUGAAUCGAGGUAAGUGGGCGUGGAAGUGAGGCUUGAAUCACAGGUCAUACCAAGUAGUGGCAAUUUCAAGUACCUUGGGUCGGUUUUCCAGAGGGGAGGGGAGAUUGACGAGGAUGUCACACACCGUAUUGGGGUGGGGUAGAUGGAGUGAAAGUUAGCAUCUGAAGUCUUGUGUGAUAAGAGAGUGUCACCGAUACUCAAAGGUAAGUUUUACAAAGCGCUGGUUAGACCGGCCAUGAUGUAUGGGGUUAAGUGUUGGCCUGUUAAGAACUCACAUAUCCAGAAGAUGAAAGUAGCAAAAAUGAGUAUGUUGAAGUGGAUGUGCGGUCACACUAGAAUGGAUAAGAUUAGGAAUGAAGAUAUUCAGGAGAAGGUGGGCGUGACUCCCAUUGAUGACAAGAUGCGGGAAGCGAGGCUUAGAUGGUUCGGACACGUACAAAGGAGAAGCCCAGAUGCUCCGGUAAGGAGGUGUGAGCGGCUGACUUUGGAGGGUACGAGAAGAGGUAGAGGACGGCCUAAGAAGUAUUUGGGAGAGGUGGUCAGGCAGGACAUGACGAGGCUUCAUAUUUCCGAGGACAUGGCUCUUGAUAGGAAGUUNNNNNNNNNNNNNNNNNNNNNNNNNNNNNNNNNNNNNNNNNNNNNNNNNNNNNNNNNNNNNNNNNNNNNNNNNNNNNNNNNNNNNNNNNNNNNNNNNNNNNNNNNNNNNNNNNNNNNNNNNNNNNNNNNNNNNNNNNNNNNNNNNNNNNNNNNNNNNNNNNNNNNNNNNNNNNNNNNNNNNNNNNNNNNNNNNNNNNNNNNNNNNNNNNNNNNNNNNNNNNNNNNNNNNNNNNNNNNNNNNNNNNNNNNNNNNNNNNNNNNNNNNNNNNNNNNNNNNNNNNNNNNNNNNNNNNNNNNNNNNNNNNNNNNNNNNNNNNNNNNNNNNNNNNNNNNNNNNNNNNNNNNNNNNNNNNNNNNNNNNNNNNNNNNNNNNNNNNNNNNNNNNNNNNNNNNNNNNNNNNNNNNNNNNNNNNNNNNNNNNNNNNNNNNNNNNNNNNNNNNNNNGUAGGGUUUUUUGUCGAUGUCAUCUAGUGGCAAUGUUGUGUCUUACUACUCCUUUGUUUACUAUAGUGCCGGGUCUAUGUACUGUCUAUCGCGUUUGCUUUGCAUCUACUUUCUCAUUUCCAUGAUAUUAUUUUUCCUAUGGUUUCUAUUGGUGAUACUGAUAUUGUCUCUUUUCGUCUUUUUGAGCCGAGAGUCUUUCGGAAACAACCUCUCUACUCCCUCGGGAUAUGGAUAAGGUCUGCGUACACACUACCCUCCCCAGACUCCACUAGUGAGAUUUCACUGUAUCGUUGUUGUUGUUGGAUUGGUUAUAUGAGUUCUCCGUAACCCAUUUAAAAGAAUUUAAGUUAUAUACAAUGUCAGCGUAAAAUUACUAUUAGUUACUUUUAACAUGUGAGAGCAAGUUACUUACCAUUUUUAAUAGAUUACCAAUUAAUGCUUGUCAAGAGAUUUACCUAUUAUGACCUAAUAAGUGACUUGAUUGUGUAAAUAUUUUUUGCACCGUCAAAGAUUUAUCACAUGCUAACUUUUGCACAUAGGUGGAGUGUUUUGUUUUUUUGCUUUUAUAAAUAAUUUUUUUUUUUGGUUUUGCUUCAGUAGUAUAAUGCAGAAAAUUAGAGUGUUUGAUUAGGGUUGGAACCUCUGGUUAUAAACUUACAACGCGGUCUUGUCAAGUUAAGUUGAGAAUGUGAGGAUAAAGUUUCAAACUUUUAGCUGCAUAGGGAAUAAUAGGUCAUGGUCGUCAACAUUCGAUGCCAUUGCUCUGGUGAUACGUGUCCUAUUUUAUAGCUUUUUUAAUUACAGCUUAGCUAGUGAAGAUUUGAGAUGAGGAAGGUUGAAGAUCUUUUCUCCAAGGAAACUUUAUCGUAUGCACUCUAAUAUUUGAAUAGGUGUUGUACUUAUCUUAAAAUGUUGUAUAGUCGAGGGACUUCAUAUCUUUUCCUCUUGGAAUUAGCGGACUUAGCUAAAUUUAGAAGAAAGUGGAGGUAAACUAUCCAUAUUGGUAAUUCCAACUAGUUCGGAUUAAGGCUUACUCGUUAUUGCGCUUACAGUAGGUUAAAUGUUUGCUAAGAGUCCUCGUAUUCUGGUAAAAACUAUAUCUCAGUAUAGGGACUAGUGUGAGAUUAGAGAAUUCUAACUUUAGAGAACCCCAAAUUUGCCAUACAAGACAAAUAAUUUAUUUUUUGGGCUGAAAUAUGCACGAAAUAUAACAAAAUGACUGUCGGUGAUUUCAUAUAGCCAAUCCCACCUAGUUGGGAUUGACACAUAGUUGGUCUAUUGGUUGAUUGAUCAAUUAGGAUAUUCACAUUUCUCCCUGUAGUUCAUUUUAGCUUUAUCCAAUUUUGUUGGAGAUGUUUAUCAGCAUUUCACAAAUAGUUAAAGGAACUUUCUCUGCAUGUAGGUUGUUUCAAUUGGUCCCUUCUGUACCAUCGGGCCUUUCGCAAAGUUGGGGAACGCUUGUCAGCUGUAUCCUGGAAGCCACAUUUUCGGAAAUACUGAACUGGGAGAUAAUUGCAUUCUUAUGACGUGAGUUAAUUUUUUUUAGAUUUACUUCCUUUCUGUCUCCAGUAUCGUUUAGGCUGCAUAUUUUUAGCAGUGGUGCUGUAAUUGGAGAUGCUCUUCCUGGUCAUACAGUCAUCGGGAGAAACAAUAUUUUUGGGCAUCAUGUUGUAAUUGGUGUCAAGUGCCAAGACAUGAAAUAUAAGGUCGGUAUCCUGAUGUUAAACUCGUUACUGAAAAAAGUUCAAAUUAUAUGAGAAAUAUCUUAAUUCCUUCACAGUUAAAUUUAUCCAAUAUUAUACUAGAUCAUCUUAUGACGCAUUGAGUUAUUUGGUUUGGCUUAUGAGCUCAGAGUGGUUUCUAUCAAUUUGAUGAUCCAUUUCCACAUCAUGAUCACUCUCUUUCCCGCCCUCAAAUUGAAGUAGUCGGUGCUUAUUUGAGAAUGCAUAUAAUCAUUAUCUUGUUUGUAAUUUCAUCAUUUCAGUUUGGGAAUGAGUGCUUUCUCGAGAUUGGUGACAACAAUGAUAUCAGGGAGCAUGUAUCCAUCCAUCGAUCUUCAAGUCCUAGUGAUAAAACCGUACGAAACUAGCUCGUUACUAUUUUUGCACUGGAGAAAUUAUAAUUCUCAGUACAUAUUUAUCUUUAAUGAGCUUAUAUAAACAGGUUAUUGGUGAUAACAAUCUUAUUAUGGGCUCAUGCCAUAUAGCUCAUGACUGCAAAGUGGGCGACAACAAUAUUUUGGCAAACAGUACACUUCUCGCAGGCCAUGUUCUGGUGGAGGUCAUUGACUCUCCUCUUUAGUCAUUUUGCAAAGCAUGACAUAUUCUGGAAAAUUUGAUCCAACUGUUGGAUGAUGGUUUAAAUUCUUAACAUGCAGGACUAUGCUCACACUGCAGGAGGUAUUGUAGUUCAUCAAUUUUGCCAUAUUGGUUCUUUUUCUUUCAUUGGAGGUGGUUCAGUGGUAAGAUUCUAUUCUAAUUCAAAUUGUUAGCUGUUUUUUUGUGUAAUUUACUCCAGUAAAAGGAGAAUACUGUUUUUCGAAAGUUAAAGGCUUCCGCUCAUUAUAAACUAAGAUAACAGUAGUUUCAUAGUUUGAAUGUUCUUCCUGAAUGCAAACAUGGUUCAAGUUAGCAAAGCAUCUAUAACAGCUAGAUUCUUACGUUUCUUUAUAACUUGCACCACAUGAUAGCUUAGCUUCUAACAUCUUAGUUUGAGUGGAAGAUCUUCAAAUAGUUUCUUCUGCACUGCUAAAUUUAAAGCACAGAUAUCCAAAGUGCAGCACGCUAACUGCGAUAUUUUAGAUCAGUGUGUUUCCUGUUGGGAUCUCAAUCUUUUUGUUCUCCAGGUUUCUCAAGACGUUCCAAAGUACACGAUGGUGUCGGGGGAAAGAGCUGAGCUUCGUGGGUUGAAUCUUGAAGGCCUAAGACGUCGUGGAUUCUCUGCUACAGAGGUUCGUUUCAUUUUAAAACAUUGCUCUAUAUUUCUAUCAAAUAGAUGUAGGAAUUUAAAUUUUGAUAAGUGGAAAACCAUAUAUGUGUGAUAUUGGAUCGCUCUCGAUGUUUUAAAUUGGUCUUGUAUCUUCAUUGCAUUGGUCAUUUUGAUUUUGCAAGUGGAAUCAUGAGCCAGUUCCUGCUAAAAUACUGGUUUGUAAUUAACUCUUUUGCCUACUGUAAUCAUAGUGUCUCAGCGGCUAAAAUCCAAAAUCCUUUUCCCUAACCUUUGCUCUGACUUGUUUUCAACUUGGUAGUGUUUUAAUCAAUAAGAAAAAGCUGCUUCUGUUCUGUGCUGUUCAUUCGGAGAAAAGACAUGCUGCUGCAUAUAUUGAACAUGUGCUAAGUAAGAAUGUUCCCAAUGAGGAAGAAAUUCUUUGAAAUAUUUAAAUACUGAUCCUAAAGGUUGACAUAUGUGACAUAUUGCAUAAUCUGGUAAGUUGAAACGUUUCUCAUUUAAAUUUUUUCUUAAGCAACACAUUUGGGGUUUAAUUAGAACUUUUAACCUUUUCAACAUUGGAUGCGCAUAUACUGUUUUUAUGGAAGUUACAAUGUCAGAUGUUGUUUAAGAGAUUUACACGUUUUACCAUUUCAAUUUAUUUUACUUUCUGCAAUAUUCUUAAUCUUUAAAAGCGUAUCUCAUUCCCCACAAAUUAGAGGAUGUUAAGNNNNNNNNNNNNNNNNGAUGUUAAGACUUAAGUAUUGUACGUAGGAUCUUUCUAUCAAAACGUCUUACUUUAUGGAAGCCACUCCACAGCCACCACCAAAUAAACCGUUUUGGAAAAUUUGUUGAGAUGGAGAUUAAGAUAUAACAGCUUAUAUGAGAUUUUUUCUUAAGUUUUGAAAUAAAGAAUACGUUACAAAGCCUUCACUGAUUUGUGUCUCAGUUAUCUUUUUCCCAGUAAAUCAAAAACGGUUUCAAAGAGAUUAAUGUGGUCCGAUAAGAUGAAAUCUGUAGAUCAUUUUGCCCCCAAGGAUUUGCUUCAGUUGUAAAGAUGAAACAUGUGAUGUGUGGAUUCGGCACACGUCAAGUGUACAAACUUUGUCACAGACAAAGCCUGGUAUUUAAGUUGGGAGGUGGGAAGAGGGGUUCCCGGAGUUGUGAACCUGUGCGUCAACACAAGAUGAGCAAGCAGCCCACACGGGAUUUCUCCGAUAUUAAAAAAUAAAGAAUUGUAGAUCUUUUUUCCUUUUCCAUUACAAGCUAUUGAAAGAUUGGUCUGCUAUCAAUUUCAAUAUGUUAAAUUGCUCUAAUUUUAUCCUUAACUUUUAUAUUCCUGAUUUUAAUUUAAUAUUUUCUUGGCAAGUAUCCAGAUUAAGAGCAUGAGAGCAGCUUAUAGAGAGAUAUUUAUGCCUACUGAUACGAGUUCUGGGAAUAUUGAAGAUCGACUUGCUCAAGUGGUAUUGAGUUGCUUUGAAUUUUUUGAUUGAUCUUUUCUGAUAAGGAAACAAAUAUAAGUACUAUUUGAUUGAUAGUAUCCCUCUUCUAAAAAUGAUGUAAAAAGGCAACGUAUUUUCAGGAGCAACACAAAGAGCUGAGUCUACUUCCAGCUGUCUGUUCCAUGGUACAGUCAAUACGUGAUUCUUUUGCUGAACAUCGCCGUGGAAUUUGCAAAUUUAGAAGUCGGAGUGGAUCUUAGCUCCUUUUCUUCGUAAGUUUGCUGUUUAUUUUACUUUUCGUAUGCUGUCCUAAACAUAUAUUAUACUAUCUGCUUGUUACUUCCUGUACUUUGAGUUGCAUCAACUGAAACUUGGUUGCCUGAUUUUUCAACCAUUUUUAAGUUUUCUUAACCAAUCUCUAUACUUAGUUGCAUUGUUUCCUGGAUUUCUACUUUUGGCCACAUUAAUUUUUUUCAUGGUGGUGCUUGUAAUUUUGCCAUCUGAUGUAAACUGGCAAUAGAAAUACUUCACAGCUAUUUCUUGCUUAAGUUUCAACAUUGACUUCAAGUCCUGAAUUCAUUCUAAUGGAGAAGCAUUUUAUGUGCAUACACAGUAUCCUUAUGAAGGAACGGAAUAGCAUCCUUUUCUACUUACAAUAACAUUCGCGACCGAGUAAAUCUUUUCUGUAUUUAGAAUUAGUGACCACUAUGUAGUGUGUAUGUGUUGAUUGCAAAACAUUUACUGAAUACCUGGUUUACAGUACUUGACAUUUACGCAUCUCAUCUGAACUCACUGGGUGCUUGCAAAAUUCAAUACUUUUUGCACUUGCAGUAUUUUCUUGUGCUUUUUUAAUGAACUAACUGAAUAAAGUUAGUAACGUGAAAGGCUUCCAAUUCGUAGUGGCUAUACCUCGUAAUACAAUUAAUAUCUACCUUGUAUGACAGGUGAAAGCAAGCAUUUGAUAUUUAGUGCUGCUAUAAUUAGUUGAGGAAUUAAGAAUAUACGUUAUUUUACAGAUUCUUUCUGAGCUUAUAAAUAUGGAUAAAAAACCAUUUUUUUUCUUCUACUUUUCAGCAAGAAUACUGAGUUUCACCUCUAUCAUGGUCCUUGAUCUCGUAAUACGCCAAACUGUAAACAGGCAAAGAAAUGCUGCUCGUCUUGUGAAAGUUUUUAUAAGGUGAACAAUCCUGUACAAGGACCAUAAUCAUUAUUUAAGCUUAUUAUGGAGGACUAAUGAACUGAGAAGAAAUCCGUCUGAAUGGGCUAAAUGAAGCUUAUCAUAUCACAGUUUGUAUAUCUCAAAGUUGCAUCUUCCAGAUUCUUUUCGUUGAGUGUAGCAGUUCAUUGAGCUAUUCUGCACCUCCGGUAAAAACUUUAGUCCCUUGCUCUCUGUUGCGAUGAUAUUGACCACAGUAGCUGCUUUGGAUUCCAACCACAAUACCGCUUCUUUAUCACCUUGUAAUGAUAUACAUCAACGUUUGCAACCAAGUUCCCGCUUUCAUACUAGUUUUCAACCAAUUCCGAUCUCUGUUACUCUGUAUCUUUAGUUCUUUGCUUGGUCUCGUUUGAUGGAAGACAGUCAUUAGUGUGGAUGAACAAUCUUUUUCGAUAGCCACCAACUAUACUUCAAUACUGCUUGGAUUUACUAUUCGAAUUAAUCCGAAAUCUGGCAUAAGCAUGUCUGAUCUCCCAGAUACUUAGAAUGUGACUGAUUUUUAUUUCUUGGAAAGUUAACUAUUCUUUGGACAAUCAGGUCUACUUUGUGAUUGCACUUUUUAAAGGGCUUGUUUACUGCCUAUAUCAGAGUGGACUUGACUACUAGAGGAUGUCGAUUCCUCAAAAAUGAGUGCUAAAACUCUUAUAGAGGUUUAUAUGAAGGUUUGCGUGUGAUUAGUUCAAGUGGCAAAGGUUGAGGGACUUAUGACUUAGGUCAACCUGUUUGAGCCUUGUACGAUUUGAACUUAGCUUAGUAUUUAUAGAUGGGGGUUCUUGAUACUGUCAGUGUAUAUAACUUGUUUUUUUUUAAAAAUAUAACUGUUUUUGCGCAAAUCAAAAGAUUGAAGUUGAAAGUCCCAUUUCCUAUGACUUGUGAAAGAUUUUCGAUUAUAUGGGAUCUUAUAGUGUCAUUGCAGAUGUGAAGAAGAAACAGUGUUUAGCUAGUUCAUCCAAGGAUGAAAAGAUAGAACACAACUCUUAUAUUAUCUUGCAUUUUCUUUGGUUUCAGUAUUCGGUACUUGCAUUGGACUCGAUAUUAUAUUGCAGUAGUAGCCCCAACAACUUGUGGCAUGCCAGAGAUAUAAAACUCAAAACAUUAUACUAUGCCAAGAUAAAAGUCAGGAGGAAAAGUUAGGAAGAGAUAUUUUGUUUAUCUUUGUUCUUGAAAUUAAGAUUCUUUUUUGGGAUAACAAUUCCAAAUCAUGAGGGGUUGCAAGUACAAUGAUGAUAAACAAAUAUGUGGAUAUUUUCUAUAUGGAUAGAGACAAUCCCCUUUAAAAACUAAGAUUUUUUUGUCAUAGAUUUUACUAGCAAAGUAAUAAUAAUACAUAUUCAGUAAGAGUUUCUUCCCAUUUGCAAUGAACUGCAUUUUUUCAGCCUUUGGUAAUUUGGUCAUAACUUCUUGUAGGAAUGUCUAAAUGACGAACGGUUUGAAGCGUUAGAAACUAGAUUUAAAGAUCUUUCAUUUGAUAGGUAAAAGAGCAAUGUAUGAUGUUUUAGGCGUACGCCACAGGUUUGAAUGAUAUCGCAGAUAAAAGUUUGGUAUUAAAGAUCCAUCGAAUUUCGAACCAUGACCUGUUGGUCCUUGAAUUCAGAAAUUAGAUUUAAAAUUUGAAGUUUAUGGUUUCUUAUACUGACUUCAGCUCGGUUCACAGUUAAAUACUUAUGAAUUCCCGUGAAUUCUUAGGUUACACUUUUGAUCCGUCACUGCCUCCCCCUCCCCCUCCCCCACCCCCACAACGAAAAAAAAAGGUCUUCAAUUGCGUCGUAUUCCGCAAAACUCUUACUAGAUCAACAUCAAUAUUCUCUUUUUCACUAUUAUCCUACUAAGGCCUUCCUGUCAAUAUGAUCAAUAUAUCUACCUCUUUCAUCUAUUAGCGACUGACAUUGUCCUAUUUGAGCUAUUCUCAAAUCUGGGGAACUAAUUGCCUAGUGCAUGCAUAACUAAUUAAAUUGGUUAAUUAAAGUACAUAAAAGUUGGCUUGGACGCUAUCGUUAUAAAAAAAUUGAUGUAUCUGAUCUUAUUUUACAUACUUACCAUAUUCUACUAAAAAUAUAUCUAUCCAAAAACCUAUUAUAUAAUUUUGUGCACAAGAUGACCAAUAAUGGGUAUGUAUUUAUUAAAAGAUGCUCACGAAGAUGACUUUGUUGACCAUUUCUUUUCAAUAAUAGAGAGUUGAGAUAAUAGAGAGAAUAAAUAAUCAAAGGAGGUAUAGCCUUUUGAAUUUUAAAUACUGUUCAAUGACUAUCAAAGAUUGCGGUGAAAUUGGUAAGUACCUAUCCAUUUUUUAUCAGAGAUCUUAGAUUCGAGAUUUGAAAUUAGAAUCGUCUUUGAUAAAGAAUGUUCUACCGCCAAAAUGAGUCCAAAUUAAUCGAACCCCAAAACAGAUAUAAACCAUGAUGCCUGGGUGGACAACCAAAAGAAAUUGUUCUACAUGCGUAAACACAUGCCGGUACAUCCCGAAGGUCUUUGACUAAUUUAACUAUACAAAAAGUUAUAAUAGAUGAAUCUUGAAAGGUAGUAUUCAAAUGGGCACGUAGGGCAUUAAUUAAGGGCAAAUUUAUAGGUUUAACUGAACCCCAUUAUUUACCGGUUGGAAUAUAUGUCGACUUUUGAAAACAAGAACGUAUAUAUCGGUGGCGGUUCCAUAAAAUUAAUGCCUAAAGCCAACUUUUAAUAAGAAGUCUUAUAAUUUUUUUAUUCGUACAUAUACAAAAAAACAUUUAGUGUUGCCAUUUUUUUCAUAAUUAUUAUUUAUAGUUGUAACGAUCCGGCCGAUCGUUUUGAGUAUUAUAGCCUCGUUCCCCCAUAUAGUUUUUAUCUGUGUUUGUUGUUCCAAUGGCGGUUCCAUAAAAUUAGUGGCCUAAAACCAAUUUUUAAUAAGAGGCCUUAUAGUUUUUUUUAUUAGUACAUAUACAAAAAAAAAGUUAGUGUUGCUAUUUUUUCAUAAUUAUUAUUUAUAGUUGUAACGACCCGACCGAUCGUUUUGAGUAUUAUAGUCCCGUUCUCCCAUUUAUUGCUUAUCUGUGUUUGUUGUUGUUAUAUGACUUGUUAGGGUGGUUGGUUUGGUUCCAAGGAUGUUUCGGAAUGAAUUGAGACACUUUGUCCCAAGGUUGGAAGCCUAAGUUGAAAGAGUUGACCAGAUGUUGACUUAUGUGUAAAUGACUCUAAAAUGGAGUUUUGAUGGUUCCGAUAGCCCCGUAUGGUGAUUUUGGACUUAGGAGUGUGUCUGGAUGCUGAUUUGGAGUCCGUAGGUGAUUUGGGCUUGAAUUGGCGAAAGUUGAAAAAAUUGAAGGUUGGAGAGUUGAGAAGUUUGACCGAGAGUUGACUUUAUUGUUACCUGGCUCAGAUUUUGGUUCCGGAAGUUGGAAUAGGUCUGUUGUGUCAUUUAUAACUUGUGUGCAAAAUUUGAGGUUAAUCAGAGUUGGUUUAGUAUGUUGCAUCAUUAGUUUUGGAAGUUAGAAGUUCGUAAGUUCAUUAGGCUUGAAUCGGUCUGCGACUCAUAGUUUUAGUAUUGUUUGAUGUGAUUUGAGGCUUCGAGCAAGUUCGUAUGAUGUUUUAGGACUUGUUGGUAUGUUUGAUUGAGGUCCUGAGGGCCUCGGGUGGAUUUCAGAUGGUUAACGGAUUGAAAUUUGACUUAGAAGAGUUGCUGAAGUUGUUGAUGCCUGUGCUUCUGGUUUCCUCUUACGCGAUCGCGAGGAGAGGGACGCGAUCGUGGAGGGUAAGGUUUUGUAGGUGGGAAUUUAUUCUAUGCGAUCGCGUGGUUAAGGCUGCGAUCGCGAAGCUUUAAGGGAGUUAUGUUAUGCGAUCGCGUGGGAGAAGACACGUUCGCGAAGAAGGAAGGAGGGGUGGCAUGAAGCUACGCGUUUGUUUAUCACGAUCGCGUGGAGUUGGAUCCCUAGGCAUCGCGUUCGCGCGUAGAGUUAUGCGUUCGCGAAGGGUUAAGUUGGAAGCUUGUAAGUUUGUGCUUCGCGAUCGCGAAGGGGAGCAUCUGGGCACAAUAUAAGAUUUCAAAAAAUGUGGGUUAUAUUAUUAUUUCUCAUCUGAACUUUGGGAGUUCGGAUUGGGGAGAUUCUUGGAGGGAUUUUCAAGGAAUUAAUUGGGGUAAGUGAUUCUAACUCGGAUUUGGUUAAUAUACAUGAAUCUAUCAGCGUUUUUACCAGUUAAUUAGUAUUUUGGGUUGGAAAAAUUCGAAAUAAAUUGUAGAAACUUUAUAAACUAUAAUUUGAGGAUUUGAAGGCCGGGUUAGAUUGAAAUUUAGUAAUUUUGGUAUAGUUGGACUCGUUGUUGAAUGGGUGUUUGAAUUUUGUUGGAUUCCGAGACGUGGGCUCGGGGUUGACUUUUGAGUUAACUUUUUGACUAUUAUUAAAGAACUUAGCUUUAUCAUAUGGAAUCCUAUAGCUUGUGUUGAUCGUAUUGAGUUGUUUGUGACUAGAUUCGAGUCGUUCGGAGACCGAUUCGAGUGGCAAGGGCUUGUUGGAGUAGAGAUUUGUGCGAUUUGAGAUAAGUAACACUUCUAAACUUGGUUCUGAGGGUAUGAAUCGCUGAAAUACAUGUUAUGUGAUUGGUGUCGAGGUGACGCACAUGCUAGGUAAUGGGAAUGUGGGCGUGCACUAUAGUAAUGUGACUUGGUUGAUUCCGUGGAACUGUGUAGUCAUCUAAUCUUGUUAUUAUUUAUGUAUUCUCCAUGUGUUAGAGAAAUUAAGAUGUGAUUCAUAUUAGAGAUUAUGCUUAGGCUAUAUGCUGGUACUGUUGGGACCCACAUGGGUCGUUCUUUCGUUGUUGAGCUAUUUGCUUAAAUUGUAGUUAUACAUUAGUCGCAUUCAUCAUUUGCAUAUCAUAUCUUAGUCUCUGUUAUCAUUUAUUGUUGCAUCAUGUAUCAUUGUUGGGCUAAUUGGCAUGAGUGUUAUGAGCCCGAGAGACUGGAGAGAUUGAUGAUUGAGUGAGGUUGAGGGCCUGAUUGUGAGUGAUAUUGAUGGGAUCAGGCUGCACGCCGCAUCAAGUUUUAUUGAUUCAUGAUGGGAUCGGGCUUCCCGCCGCAACAAGUUUCAUUGACUCAUGAUGGGACCGGGCUGCACGCCGCAGCAGGUAUUAUUGAUUCAUGAUGGGAUCGGGCUGCGCAUCAAAGCAGAUUUUAUUAGCGCUUGGCAGGAUCCGCCCCUUCGGAGUCUGACAUAUUAACAGCGAGUGCAGAUACUGUACAGUGCUGAGUGUGAUGAGUGUGAGUUGAGAUAGUCAGAUUGAGUACUCUGAGAGUGUGAGUACGUGAGGUUACCAUUGUGAUGCAUCACAUGAGACAUGCACAUUUGACAUAUAGAUAUAGAGAGGUAACAUUCCUCGUAUCAGUCAUACUUGGCAUAUUUUAUCCGUGUUGAACUUAAAGUCUUAAACUGUUAAACUUAAAAAUAUGUCUAUAUUUUUGUACUGUUAUAACCUGGAUUUGAAUUGUAGUUGUCUCAGCUCGUCACUGCUUUCAGCCCAAGAUUAGUCCUACUAUUUAUUGAGUACAUUGGGUCGGUUGUACUCAUACUAUACUUUGCACUUCGUGUGCAGAUCCAGGUACUUCUGGACACAUCGGUUGCUAGCUGUGGAGCUUUAUCUGCUUGGAGACUAUUGAGGUAGCUGCCUUGGCGUCCGCAAACCUCGGCUCUCCUUCUUUUCAGUUAGUUUACACUGUUCUAUCCUUCUACACGGUUGUUUUUAGCAAUUAGAUAUAUUGAGUCGCAGUAUUUUUCUAUCAGUUAUUUAUGAGAUUUUUACUAUUAAGCUUAUUUCAUUAUGUGUUCAAUACAAAGAUGCGUGGUUAUUUGUGAUUACCGGCUUGCCUAGUAUUGCGAUAGGCGCCAUCACGAUAUGUGAGAUUUUGGAUCGUGGCAAUAGUAUAACAUUCUUAAAUGAUAAAGCCUUUAACUUCACAUAGUAAUAAUAUUAUUUAUAUUAGUAAGAAGUAACUUAAAUAAAUAAGAUAUUAGACAUGUAUUUUCAAUAUGUUAUCUUUGAUAUUGUUGUAAAGAAAAUAUUUACUAAUGUGAAGAUUUAAAUAAUUUAAUUCAAAGUUCUAAAAUAUUUUUAGUGUUAAAAAGUAGACAAUCUUUCUUUCUUUCUUUUGUCCAAAAUUUUUUGUACUUUUUUUUGUUACAAACUUUAAUAUUGUCUAGCUUGAAAUAAAAGCAUAAAAUUCUUUAUUGAAAAUUUUUCGGGACCUAAAUAAAAGCUUUUCUAGUCUCCUACUUGAGCCACCUGUCCACCCUUGAUAUUUUCAAUCAAAUUUUAUAGAGUCUCAAUUAAGAUAAGAUAACAAUUAGUGAAUGUGUUAUUUAGUUACCAAAUGUGAAUUAAGUUGGUUGAAUAACACGUCCAUGGGGUAGUGAUCUAUAAAUAAUUGUUGAUAAUUAAUCAGGACGGCUCAACGGAACUGGUGGCUUAAAACUAAAAUAUAUUAAAAGACCCUAAAAUUUCUUUCAUAAAAUUCUUAUAAUAUUGAGACAAAAAAAGCCUACAUGACUUUAAUCUAGUGGUGAGAGAGCAACGUAUAAUGUGUGUGUUAGGCGCACAUCAUAUGCUAUUGAACUCUAUCCUAUAUAAAAAUAUAACAUUAAGUAAAGAUGGUAAAAGGGUUGAGUAUAUUGUGUUUUGAACCUUACUACAUUUGUCUUGAGAACUUUUUAGCUAAAAAAGAUGAGACACAAAAGAACUUACUUUCUGAUGUGUGGACCAAUCAAAUGUGACAAAAGAAAUAGCUAAUUUAAAGAAUAUGAGUUGAAAUCAGAAAAUAAAAUAGUGAAAAAUAUGAAAAAAGACUAUACAUAAAUAAAGACAAAUAAAAUUGAUGAGAAGAUAAAUAUAUUAUUUAUUUAGUGAGAGAAAAGUUUUAUCCUAUUGACUCAUUCAAUCCUACCUUUACCAUUUUUUUUUAAAAAAAUUAAAAUUUAAACUNNNNNNNNNNNNNNNNNNNNNNNNNNNNNNNNNNNNNNNNNNNNNNNNNNNNNNNNNNNNNNNNNNNNNNNNNNNNNNNNNNNNNNNNNNNNNNNNNNNNNNNNNNNNNNNNNNNNNNNNNNNNNNNNNNNNNNNNNNNNNNNNNNNNNNNNNNNNNNNNNNNNNNNNNNNNNNNNNNNNNNNNNNNNNNNNNNNNNNNNNNNNNNNNNNNNNNNNNNNNNNNNNNNNNNNNNNNNNNNNNNNNNNNNNNNNNNNNNNNNNNNNNNNNNNNNNNNNNNNNNNNNNNNNNNNNNNNNNNNNNNNNNNNNNNNNNNNNNNNNNNNNNNNNNNNNNNNNNNNNNNNNNNNNNNNNNNNNNNNNNNNNNNNNNNNNNNNNNNNNNNNNNNNNNNNNNNNNNNNNNNNNNNNNNNNNNNNNNNNNNNNNNNNNNNNNNNNNNNNNNNNNNNNNNNNNNNNNNNNNNNNNNNNNNNNNNNNNNNNNNNNNNNNNNNNNNNNNNNNNNNNNNNNNNNNNNNNNNNNNNNNNNNNNNNAAAAAAUACUUUUAAAAAAUUGAAAAAACUUAAAAAUAUAUAUUUUGCAAAUUUCUUUUUUUCCUAGUGUUUACAAAAAAAAGAUUUUCCAGUUUUUACAAAAUAUAUGCUUUAAAAAAACUGAAAAACUGAUUUUGUUUUUUUGUAAAAACUGAAAAAAAGAUUUUCCUAAAGUAGUGGACUACAGGUGCAUUAGUUUUAAAAAAACGAAAAUAUUUUGUAAAAUAGUUUUUUUUUCAGUGUUUACAAAAAUAAAUACUUUAAAAAAAACUAAAAAAUAUUUUUUAAAGCAUUUUUUUUUUCAGUUUUUACAAAAAAAUUGCUUUAGAUUAAAAGAUGCUAAAUUUAGCCUUGGGUGAAAAUUAGGUCAGGUGGUGGGUUUUUUAAAACGGAUCGGGUAAAAAAAAGAAAUGGGUCGUUUUCAUCUGGUGCUGCCACGCGGCACUCCAUCCAAAUUAAGGGUAUUUUUUUUCCAAAGUAUAACGGGAUAAAUAUAAAUAACCCAAUAGUAUAACGAGGGGUAUUCUUAGAUCAUUUUCAAAUAUACAAGGGUAUAUUUGACCUUUUGCCGUACAUAAUAAGAUAUGAACACUAUAUUUUAAACUCACUGGCUCUAUAUUAUUGUAACGUUUUGAGAGAUAAAUCUUUAUCAUUUCCUAUAAUAAUUCCAUCUUGCUUUAUUUUGUCGUUUGUAGAGAUACCAAAAGUUGUUGCUUUCUACUAUAAGAACCCAAGUUGGAUAAUAUAUCCAACCAAAAAACAUUAAUGUCCAUCCAAUCAUCUUUCUCUUGGCCUUGCAUCCUAUUUUCAUAAACCCUACCUUGUACUACAACACAUCAUCAUAUAAACCAACUAACUAAAUAGUUGUUGAUAUACAACUCUCUUCCCUCCCCCCUNNNNNNNNNNNNNNNNNNNNNNNNNGAGUCUUUGGUGUUGAUAUUAGUACUAAAAACACACGUUUUUCCGAGGGACAAAACUAACGCGAGCCGUUUUGUUUGUUGAAAAUGGGAAGAAAAUGUUCACAUUGUGGUAACAUUGGUCACAAUUCAAGAACUUGUAGCACAUUGAAAUGUGCUAGUAAUGGUAGUUUUAUUGGUGGAUUAAAGCUUUUUGGAGUGCAACUUGACAUCUCUAAUAAUGCUUCAUCUUCUUCUUCUUCUAUUGAUCACUUGAAGAAAAGUUUUAGUUUGGAUUGUUUGACUCCUCCAUCUGUUAAUGAAAGCUGUGAAAAGAGUACUUCAAUUAAUAAUGGUUAUCUCUCUGAUGGCCUUGUAGUUCGUGUUGAGGAAAGAAAGAAAGGUAUGUAAUAAUUUUUUCAUACUUAUUGUCAACACAUUAAUUUCUAAUUUGUUACUCCCUUCGUUUCAAAUUAUCCAUCGUGAUUUUUAACAAUGGUAAUAUCAAAUUAUUUGUCAUUUUAGAAAUUCAAGACAAAAUUAAUUAUUUUUUUCCCAUUUACCCUUGAUAGUUAUUGUUCAUGAAGAUGGAGAUAGUACAUAAAUAGAAUAAAUAUCCAAUGUAAAUAGAUUAUAUCUUAAGACACAAAUAAGGGUAAAAUAGUUCAAAAUCACUUGUAAUGAAUAAUUUCUUAAGAGACGUAUAAAAAAGAAACACGACAGAUAAUUUAAGAUUGAGGGAGUAACGUAGAAUAAUUUUAUCUACCUUUGGUUCAAAGUUAAGGUCUUAUCCAAUAUAUUUUGAUUUUGUUUUGGGAGAAUCAUCAGCUUGACUCGUAUUUCUUCCUAUUUGCGUGGUGUCACAAAAACAUGCAUCUUUUAUGCUGGUUGUCAAUCUAUCACGACCAUCCUCUUUUAUAUUUGGAUCGAUAAUGUGAGCAAGUUCACGUUGAGUUGAGAUCUAUUUAUAACUUAAAUGGAACGACAUGACAGUGAUAAUUCAUAUAGGAAUAAUGUGAUUAUUGAUACUUAUUUAUAUUGGAUAAACAGGAGUUCCAUGGACAGAGGAGGAACACAGAAAAUUCUUAAUUGGACUAGAAAAGCUAGGAAAAGGAGAUUGGAGAGGAAUUUCAAGAAACUUUGUGACUACAAGGACUCCAACUCAAGUUGCAAGUCAUGCUCAAAAGUAUUUCCUAAGACAAUCAAGUCUCAACAAAAAGAAACGACGUUCCAGCCUAUUUGACAUGGUAAAUAUUUUUGCAUUAAUGACACCAACUAUUUUUAUCCAUAAUUUCACAUUUCCUUAUAAGUAGAUCUUUUGACGUAUUAUUUAUAGGAUUUAACCUAUGUUACUUGGAUCUUAUAAAAAUCAACGUCAUACUUGUGUAUGAUAUUUUCAAGAAAUACUGUAUUUGAAGCACCUAACAUAAGUGCAAUGCUAUUUUUGGAGGAUCCGAGCAAUAUAAAAUUUAAUUUAUAUACACUAAUUUUCUUACAAAAUCAGUGCAUUUUAACUCGUCACAGUUGUUAGUUACUAUUUUUACGAGUUUAGUAAAAAAUGUUAACAUAGAGACUUACUUGUAAUUGACUUAUAGGUGACAUGAUCAUGUAAAUAAUUUUUUUACACCAUAGUAAGAGAUGAGUUUAUAGAGAUUUUUGCAUAAUAUCGGCAUAGAAUGAGUGUAAAUGAAGUAAUGUGAUUAGUGAGAGUUCAUUUAGCCGACCACAAAUUUUUUUCGGAUUGAGACGUAAUUAUUAAUUAUCAGUACAAGAAUUAACUCUUAUUUGUAAACAUUAUAGGCAAGGAGCAACAACAAGAUGCAUGUUGAUGCCAUAACCAUGAAGUUCAAGCAUGCAGAUAAUUUUGCUGAUUGUCAUGACACAACAAUCUUAACAAACAAAGAUUGUCAAGAAAUUAGAGCAUCAUUAUUAGACUUAAAUUCAUUUGGAGAAGAUAUGUCAAUUGCCAAAGAUAAUCAAAGGAGUGAAAAUCCUCAACAACCGGAAGAGAUUUAUUCAGUACCAAUUAAGAAAGUGCCAAAUAAGUCAAUUUCUUCACUUGGAGCUCUUGAUUUGGAGCUAAGUCUCUCAGCUCCAAGAAAUAUUGGACCAAUUACAGUUACCUAACUUGUACUCCUAAUUAUUUCUCCUCUAUUUAAAAGUAAAUUUAAUUAUUAAGUGAUUAUAGCACAAUGAAUGUAUUCUCACCCUUUUUUCCCUAGGUAAAUAAUGAAUGAAUUUUCAGGAUCAUGCUAUUACUAAUAUAGGUUACACCUCUAUUCUCCAUCUCUAACUUCAAUUAUUUUUGCUAAUUUUCAAGAACAAAGCAAUUUGAAGAUUUGAUACAAUCACUCUACGUACAUUUGACCUUUAAUUAUUUUUAUAACUAAAAAUUAUUAAGAAAUAGAAAAAUACAAAAGAGUAAAGAGAGACCAAUACCUCUAAAAUUCAAAGUUGAGAAAAGAGGGAAUAUCCUCAAUUCCUUUUACAUUUUGGACAUAUUAAAUUUGUAAUAAUGAAAUUCCACUAGACAAUUGUGACAAAUUAAUCUUCCUUUCUACAAUAAAAGAGUGUUGUCAAUUCAACCAAUUUAUUGCAAAUUGGGGUAAAGGGUCAAAGAAGUGCAUUUUGGCUGGUCUUUUUAAAGGGAAGCAUAUCCUCUUUUCUGUUUCAUUAUCCCUUUUAUCUCUGAUAACAAAAACAAUUGUUUCAAGUAAUUCAAACAUAAUUAGAUUUCUUUCUUCUUCUUAUUCUUCAAGCUUUUUAUUUUGUUUGUUUAUUCCUUCAAACAUGCAGGGAAGUUUUAAUUUCCUAUAUAAUAACUUCUUUUCCUAAACUUUUCAUGCUUCACCUGAUUAAUCGUGUUGUAUUUAUACUGAUACAUCCCUCUAUUCCAUUUUAUAUAAUAGCGCUUUUUCUUUUAUAGUUCGUUAAAAAAAUGACACUUUUUUAAUAUUUAAUAUUUUUUUAACUUUAUACUAUUUUAUUUUACUCUUAAUGGUAUUCUCCUAUAGAUAUAAAAACGUCAUGAAAUAUUUAAGAUAAUAAGGAACAAGGUUACUUAUGAUAAGUGUAUUUUUUUCUUUAACAUCAUGCUUAAUCAAAUAAUACCAAAUAAAAUAAAAUUAAUGACUAUGGAUAGGAAAGUGUGGACGUUGAGAAUUAGGGUAGAGAGGUAGUUGAGUUUUGUCUUUAUUUGUUACAGUAACUUUGGUACACCACUUAGUGUCUUUCGUGUAUUUUUAUUUUUCUGGACUUUUUUUAUUACUUGUUGUUGCCUUCACUUCAGUUUUAAUUGCACUAACUAUUGUUAGUUGUGUGUUUGUCGCUUGAUUUUUUUGAUUGGCUUGCUUGUCAUUGGUCAUUCCCUUUAUCUUUCCUGAACCGAGGAUCUAUCGAAAACAAGCUCUUUGUCUUUUAUAAAGGUAGGGGUAAUGUCUGCAUACAUAUUAAUUAUACCAUAUUCUACUUGUGAGAAUACACUAGGUUUGUUAUUGCCGUUGUUGUUGUUGUAAUGGCCUAUAAACAUUAUGAAGCUUUAUAGGAAGGAGAUAUUGUAGGUUAAAACAGCAUCUCUUACUUUUCAAGUCUGCUAUUAUAUGAUAUCUACAAAUAAGAUAUACUUGGAUUUUAUGGGGUCAACUUUUACCUACAGAAAGGAUCCAUCAUCACCUUUACUCCAGAUAUAAAUAGGAUAAAGCAAGUGGAAAAAACCAAAAAACCACAUUCCUGAAACGUGUAUAAAUUGGAAACAAUGAAUAAUUGUACCAUAUCUGCCUACAAAAUACAGACAAAAUAAUUUGACAUUACUUGACAAAGGCCAAUGGACCACUAUAAUAAUAAUUUUACAAAAUUAUGGAUCCUGAAUCUUAUUUUCAAGACUUGUUUGGACUUAAGUAUUAACCAGUAGAAAUAAUAUAUGACCCAGAUUCAAAGACUUGUCGGUUGUUCAACCUAGCUUAUUGCUUGUAAUUUGUUCUUGCUUUCUCCCUCUCUCUACACUUAUUUUUCCUUUGCUUCUUAGAAAUGAGUUUAAAUUAAAUUAUAUGUAUGUGUAAAAAAUAUUAAUCUAAUCAAAUCACUCUGGAACUAGCUUACAGGGUGCGAGUUCGAUUAAACUCGUUGCUUUUGCGUAAACUUUGUAUUUAUACUUAGAAAUUCAUUAAAUAUGUAUAAAUAAUUACGAAUCAAGUAACUAAGACAGCUAUGAGUUUUGUGACAAAAUUAGAACUCAUAAACUUCAAAUUGUAGCGCCUCUAGGAUCAUUUAGAAAAUGAUUGCACCUAAUUCCAUUUAAUAAGCAUUGAUUAGUAUCAUAUAAUAAAAGAUCGUUGCACUAAUAACGUAAUUGUUUUAUACAGUUAAUGCAUAAAACUUAAUUAAAUGCUAGCUUUAUUAUAAUAACUUCACCAGAAACACUAAUCAAUCGGAGUACAAGUUUUUUCUUGGUUUCUAGUAUCUAGUUCGACCAGAAUUAAUCAGUAAAAUCCUUGAACCAUAUAAAACACACACCACUUUAUAUUUUUGGCAUUUUCUUGGUGUGUGUGUGUGUGGUGGGGGGUGGGGGGGGGGGCAUAUUUUAGCAUUUGCAAUAAAUCUUGUGUCUGUUUAAAUACCUGUCAUUUGUCAGGUCGUUCCUUCACUUUUUAGAGAUAGUGACUUUGGAACCAACAAGAAUCACUGUGUUAAAUACCUAUUACUAUCAAUGAGUUGUCAAGAAAUACAUUUUUUUAUAGCGAUAUUUGCAUUGAGAUUCGAUUAAAUUUGAGUUCGUGCCGAAAAGUCCCACAGUAAAAAUAAAAUACUCCCUAACGAAGGUAAUUCUAUAUCUAAAACUUGAAUUCGAGAUCUCUUAUUAAACAUAAAUGAAUACUUGUCGUUCCAACACAAUCAUUAUUAGGUUUAGAAAGUACAAUUUGGUCCUUCUCGUCACCUUGUUAUUAAUAAUGAUAUAGUAUAUGUAAAGUUUAGACUGCUAAAGAAAGAAAAUACGAUCGAAUAGGAAAUAGUGAUAACACCUUCAAGAUAUCUAAAUUUACAUAUAUACAUAUGUUUCCUGCAGAGGAUAGAAAGCUUUCCUCUUUCCCUUAGCUACCUCCAAUAACACAUUUGUGAUGUCAUUGAUUUAAAGUUUAGGGCAGAUAAGAUAUAUACAUAUACUGUUUACAGAAAUAUUUGCAUGCAUGUGAAUAUAUAUUCUUUCUUAAAUCAUACUCAAUACCAUGCACGGCACGGCUGAUUUAGGGGGCGGAAGGGGAUUCGCCCUAAUCACGACCCAAAUUUCACUAUGAGUCAUGAUGGCGCCUAACGCCGCCGUCAGACAAGCCAACAUUGAUUUAUCAAUUUAUUUACUCAUUUUAGUAUUUUUGAAAUCGUGAGUUUUCCUUAAUUUAACAGUAUAUCAUAGAAUUUACAAAACGAAUAAAAAUAUUAACAGGAACCAUAAUAAUGAUUAACCCGAAGAAAACCUCCAAAACCCGAUAUCACAAGUGCAUGAGUAUUAACUAGGAAAUAUGAUAAAAUACAACAUCUGUCUGGAAUACAAAUUAGACAGGAGAAUGUAAAUAACUUUGAUGGAGACUCUGUAUGCUGCGGAUUCGUAACAUAGAAUGUAGCUAACCGUAAGUCCCCGCAAUAACCGUACCUCUACACCCAAAAGACCACUAAACAUAUAUAUACCUGCACAAAAUGUGCAUCAAGUAUAGUAUGAGUACGUAAAUCAACGCGUACUCAGUAAGUAUCAAGUCUAACCUCGAAGAAGUAGUGACGAGAGGUCGACAUCGACACUUACUAAAGGUUCAAUAGAGCAAUAUAAUAAAAGCGUGAGCAGAUAUGAAGCAUACAGAAGUAAUGGGGUAAAUCUAUAAGUUACAUAGUCUUCCAAAUAUUUCCUUUAAAGCAUGAAUUUCUAAAUUUUGCAUUCUACCAUAACAACUCAGAAAAAAAAUGUCAAGUGUCAUUAUCAAAUAAAUAAGAAAUACCAUAAAAAUGUCGGGCAUUAGUGGAAAGAUUGGCUCAUGAAUAUUCGGGCUACUAACGAUAUAACGCACGAUUCUGCCGAGGUCGUUUGGCCCGAUCCAGAAUAAUGUGUACAUUGUCAAGGUCAAGCGGCACGAACCAUAGAUGCAUCUAUACUGCCGAGGCGUCCGUCCCGCUCCACAAGAAAGGAAGACAUUUUAUGAACCUCCGAAAUGAGAAGCUAUCACAAGGAUAACACGUAAGGAUGUACAAUUUCUAUUAACGGACGAGUAAUUCGCACAAAAAUUCAAGUACGUAAAAUUUCGGUCUUUUAUUAUUUCCUCUAACAAUUUCCAAUAUGGUUCAAGUACUUCAAUUAACAAAGGAUGCAAACAUUACAACUAAUUCAUGAUUUGGGUCCUAAACUACCCGGACAUAAGCAUAAUUAGUAGCUACGCACGGACUCUCGUGACCUAAUGCGUACGUAGCCCCCCACAAUCAGCAGCAGAUAAUAAUUUAAAUCACCUAUGGGGUAAAUUCCCUCUUACAAGGUUAGAUAAGAGACUUACCUUGCUCCGAAGUUCCAUAGCAGGCUCCAACGCCACUCUAAUACCUCGAACUGAUGCUUGUCGAUCCAAAACUAUGCAAACAAUAUGCAAAUCAAUCAAUAUGUGUUUUAAUACCCAUAUAUAACUAAUCAAUUUAAACAAUUUCCAACUCCGCUCGAAACAUUAGCAGUGGGGCCCACGCCUCAAAACCCAAUAAAACUCAUAAACUCCGACAAUCCAUCUAACUACGAGUUCAACCAUACUAAUUUCAUUCAAAUCCGACUCCGAAUCGGUAUUCAAAACUCGAAAAUUCGUUUUAUGAAAUUAUAGAAAUUUCCUUCGAUUUCUCUUGAAGAUUCAAUAAUCAUACACCAAAAAUGAAGAUUAAUUUAUGAAAUAUAAUUAUAAGGGAGUCAAGAACACUUACCCCAAGUUGUGUGGUGAAAUUCCUCUCAAAAGUCGCCCAAACCGAGCUCCAAAAUUCGAAAAAUGGGUGAAAAUAUCGAACCCUCGAACUUAAAGGAUUCUGCCCAGUCAUUUCCGCUUCUGCGGACACAAGAGCCGCUUCUACGACGUCGCUUCUACGACACGAGCUCUACUUAUGCGGAAUCCAGUAGCCAGUCGACCCCUCGCACCUGCGGAUCUCCAUCCAUUUCUGCACAACCGCAGGUGCGAAGCGAAAUGUGCUUCUGUGCUCCGUAUCGCUUCUGCGCCCAAGGCCCUUGCUUUUGCGGGGCCGCAGAUGCGCCCCAAUUUCCGCUUCUGCAAUCCUCCCCAUACAAGCCUACUUGCGCUUCUGCGAUCAACUGUCCGCAUUUGCGAUCUCGCCUCCGCGCCCAUUCUUCCGCAUAUGCGAAAAAACCAGAACCACAUACCUACAACAAUGCAACAUGAAACGAAAAAUUAUCUGAACCUCGUCCGAAACUCACCCCGGCCACCCGGGACUCAAAUCACACAUAACAACACCAAAAUUUUAAAUUGCACCUCGAAUCGAACUUAUAAAUUUUUCAAACUUCCAAAUUCUAUAUCUUGUGUCGAAACAUAUCAAAUCAAGUCCGAUUGACCUCAAAUUUUGCACGCAAGUCAUAAUUGACAUUACGGACCUACUCCCACUUCUGAAAUCGGAAUACGACCCCGAUGUCAAAAAGUUCACUCUCGGUCAAACUUUCCGAAAAUCAUCCAAUUUCUAACUUUCGCCAAUUGACGCCGAAACGACCUACGGAGUUCUAAAUUAACGUCCGGAUAUGCUCCUAAGACCAAAAUCACCAUACGGAACUAUUCCCAGGCUCGAAAUCCCAAACGGAUAUCGAUAACAUCAAAAUCUACUUCAACCCAAACUUAGAAAAUUAUUAAACCUUCAAAAUGCCAACCCUCCGUAAUAAGCGCCGAAAUACUCCCGGUCCACCCUAUACUCGACCUGAACAUACACCCAAGUACGAAAUCAUCAUACGAACCUAUUGGAACCUUCAAAUCCCGAUUCCGAGGUCGCUUGCUCAAAAGUCACACCUUAGUCAAUUCUUCCAACUUAAAGUUUUCAAAUUUAGAAUUUUCUUCCCAAAUCAACUCCGAACCUCCCGAAAUUCGAUUCUGACCACACAUACAAGUCAUAAUACCUGAAGUGAAAUUACUCAAGGCCUCAAACCGCCGAACGACGUGCUAGAGCUCAAAACGACCGGUCGGGUCGUUACAACCCUUCGCCGAAAAAUUACACUAUAGAUAUAAGGCAAAAUUUAUUUUGUACUUCUAUAUAUUAUAGUUUGAAUUUCCUUGACACAACCCAAAAGUAUAGCUCAAUAGUAAAGGGGGUACAAAAUUUUUGUAAGGUCAAUCGUUCAAUUUCCACUGGUCACCGUCUCUUUUAAUUUUUUAACCUUUUUUUGAAUUCCCUUAACGAAAAUCCUACCUCCAUGCACAUUAUAAAUCUAUCUAUUCUAACCCGAUGUUGUUUUCGUAGUGUCAUAUUCAAAAAUAGAGGACUAAAAUGCUUCUUUUGUUGCUAAAAUGUUAAAUAUUUUGAAAAAAAUUAAGUUUGUUAAAAUGAUUAAUAUUUGGGAAGGAGCAAGUAUCAUGUUUCUAUUGCAAGGAGAGUGAUAUUCCCACUAUUGUUUCUUUGGAUUUUUGUCAAUCACUGUUCAUUAUCCAAUAAAUUUCGUCUUCAAACUCCAUAAUGUAACCAUGUUCCUAUUGUUUUCGAAUUUCUUGAUUAUUCUCUUUCUUUGUGCACUAACACCACAACUUGCCCCUUUUUAUUUAAAUUAUAGUGUUUGGAUCAGUUUGAGUGUACCAAAAAAAAUGACAGAACUGAUUUUUAUAUCAGUUAAUGAAAGAACCCAAUAUAAAAAUAAUAAUACAUGUUGGGUCUCUUAGCGAGUACUUACUUUAUCUAAACCCUCUAUCAACAAAUGCGCAAAUUGCACUGAUCAUUGUGCGGACUACCCUCUAGCCCAGUCAAGUGUUGCAUAUGGUCGUUCGUCAAAUGCCACUGUUUCAUCAUUUGGACAGAUGCACGACUAAUUCACAGGUGUAUUUGCUAUCUCUCACUAGCACGUACAAAUAUCAGAUAACUUUCUCUCACUGUUAUCUCUCACUACUUAAAUAACACGACUUGCCCUAUAGCUGUUGUCCAUCGUUUCCUCUAUUAAGCUAUAAAAUCAAGGAUUAUGUCAAUGAAAAAAGUAAAUUCCUUAGGAAUAUGGUAUAAUAUAUCAUUCUGAGAAAUAGAUUUAGUAGCAUGCUACGGACAAAACAAAUUAUUUUUUUCACUGGCUUUUCUUCUAUCUUCAUCAAUAUAUUCACAAGCCAUUCUUUUUGUCGCUUGUGGUUUGGAUUCAUUUAAUUAAUAGAGCAUAGGACCACAGAAGAGACUAGAAACUUUCUAUUAGGUCCACCUUCCCCUACAAUGAAAUGCAUAGGGGUUAAGGAUUUGGUCUUUGGGGCUAUGCAUUGUGGGAGCAAUAAAGGCACACAUAUUCAAAGCUCUAAUUAUGUUUAAGUUGCGAAGUUAGAAAUAAUUCCAUUGGUCUUAACUUGAGACCUUAGGAUACAAUCAUUUUAGUUUAUCAUGGCCAGGGACACUAUUCCUGAGAUAAUAACUUUUAUAUGAAAUGCUGAUACGGAUCGAAAAAAUUGGUUUGAAUAACAUUUACUAUUCACUUAAAGAGGUAAAUAGGGCUCCAAUAGAUAUAUGUAAAAGGUAGGUCCGAUUACGCGUAUUUCUAAUGCUAAAUGGAAGCAACACAGUUACUAGACAACUCUACGUAAGUUCAGUUACCGAAUAACUCUAUCCACCACGGCUUAGCAAAGAAGGAAAGAUUACAAAUGAUAUAUAUAUCGCAGGGAAAUUAUUACAAAUGGUAUUGAAGAAAAAAAAUGAACAAGCCAAACUCUGACACGUCUCAACCUUUGACACCAUGAUCUUCUUUUCCAUUCCGUUUAUGUGCACAUAGCUUGACGGUCAGCUGAGAUGGCUUAGUUGUGGUUAUGUAUAUAUUCGCUAGGUGAGUAAUAAAAUUCUUAAUUACCAAAAAAUGCAACAUUCGAAUACGUCUUAACCUUUCGACGUUUAAUUAGAUACGGAUUUUUUUUUAAAUUAUAGAAAAAGACUUUAAUUUAUGUAUAUACAAGGUAACAAAUUCUUCUUAUUAUCAAAAUUGAAUAAUAGGUGGUUGUUCUCCAUAUCACUUCAUAUGCUUCACAAAAAGGUAAUAAACAAAAAAAGUUAGCUUUUACAUCUAGUGGAGUCUCGAAAAGUCAUGCAUAGUAUAAGAUCGCUAAGAAUAAUUAAAUACUUUUUGUUGGUGUUACAAGUAAUUACAGUUGAAAAAUAAAAUGAAGAAAAAUAAAUAAAUAUACUUCAGGCUGAGGUGCAGAUAUCUCGCUCUCUUUAAGGAGAUUCAAGCCCACUACGGUAGUAUCUUCACCGGUCCAACAGUAAUACUCUUAACUUGUCCCCUCCAGGAUACAAUAACCCGGCAACGUCGUAUGAGUCCAAAGUUCCACCAAAAUGAACACCUUCGUUCAACAAAAUAAUAUUCUUUUUUGUAGAUAAUAAGUUGGAGACUUAGAUUUUCUCCUUCUCUUGACUCUCUUUUUCACUACACCAAUUUUCACUUUUUUCAUACACUACAAUAUUUUUUCACACCAAACACAAAGAAGAAACACCACUAUUUAUAGGUGUAGAAUCUAUUCCAUAAAAUAAAUAAUAAAGUAGUGAAAUAAUAAAAUUGUAGAACAUAAUUAGUGGUUACAAAAUUUAAUCUUUAGUGAGUAAUUGGUGGUAAAUCAUGACAUUAGUAGUUUCACGAGUUACACUAAAGUAAUGACUAUUUUUUUGCCAAAUUAUAACCACUACCUCACAAAAAAUAAUGCACUUUAAUAUUAUAAUUUUAAUAUUUAAAUACACAAACACCAACACUUUUCAAAUAUAAAAUCGUGUCAUUUCAUGACAUUUUUUCGGAGAAACAGUGUUACAUAAAAUGGGGAAAGAGAGUAGAAAUAGUAAUUGUGAGACAUAGGUGUUAAGGGUUUUGCUCCAGGAAUAUUUUUCCAAUAACAAUAUGUUUUCCCGUCACCCGAAUUCAAGAAGAUGGCGUGGAUAUUAGCACACAAAAAAUUAAAAAUCAUCUUGAAUUCCUAUUUUAUGAUCUUAAAACGCCAAAAAAAAAAAUGAUCAUGGAGAAGCAAUGACUGUUAUUCAUUAGGUUGUUUCUCAUGGGCCCAUAAAAUUUUAAGUGUUUCGAAGUCCGUCGCCCGAAUUCAUGAAGAUGGCAUAGACAUUAGCAUACGAAAAAUUAAAAAUCAUCGUGACUUCCUGUUUUAUGGCCGUAAAAUACCAAAAAGGAGGAACAGUCAUGGAGAAACGAUUACUAUUGGUUCAUUAGGCCAUUUUUGAUGGACCCAAAAAAAAUUUAAGCGAUUCAAAGCCUAUCGCCCGAAUUCAUGAAGAUGACAUGGACAAUCACAUAGGAAAAAAAAAUUGAAAAUCAUCCUAAAUUCCUGUUUUAUGGCCCUAAAUGCCAAAAUUGAGGAAUAGACACGGCGAAGCAAUGUCUAUUAUUCAUUAGAUUGUUUCUGAUGGGCCCGAGCCGAUUCGGAAUCCGUCGUUCAAAUUCAUGAAGAUGGUGUAGACAUUAGCACAUGAAAAUCGAAAACCGUUCAUAAUUCCUAUUUUAUUACCCCUAAAAUACCAAAAACGAGGAACAAUAUAGAGAAGCAAUGACUAUUGUUCAUUAGGUCAUUUAUGAUGGGUCCAUAAAAUGUCAAAAAAUGAAAAACAAUCAUGGCGAAUCCAUGACUAUUAUUCAUUAGGCCGUUGAUAUGCCCAUAAAACUUUUAAAAAUUUGGAGCUCGACGCCCGAAUUCAUGAAGAUGGCGUGGACAUUAGCACACAUAAAAAAAAAUUAUCCUUAAUUCCUAUUUUAUGGCCAUAAAAUAUCCAAAAACGAGGAACGGUUACAACGAAACAAUAACUAUUAUCUAUUAGGUCGUUUCUGAUGGGCCCAUUAAAUUUUAGGUUAUUCGAAGCCUGUCGCCCGAAUUCAUGAAGAUGGCGUGGACAUUAGCACACAAAAAUUGACAAUCAUUCUGAAUUCUUGUUUUAUGACCCUAAAAUACGAAAAACGAGAAACAAUCAUGGCGAAAUGAUGAAUAUUGUUCUUUAGGUCGUUUUUGAUGGGCCCACAAAAUUUUAGGCGAUUCGAAAUGCCAAAAAAGAGAAACAAUCAUGGCGAAUCCAUGACUAUUAUUCAUUAUGUCGUUUAUGGGCCCAUAAAAUUUUUAGCGAUUUGGAGCCCGACGCCUGAAUUCAUAAAGAUGGCGUGGACAUUAGCACACGAAAAAAUAGAAAUCGUCCUUAAUUCCUAUUUUAUGGCCCUAAAAUAUCAAAAAAUGAGGAACGGUCACAACGAAACGAUAACUAUUAUCCAUUAGGUCGUUUCUGAUGGGCCCAUCAAAUUUUAGGUGAUUCGAAGCCUGUCGCCCGAAUUCAUGAAGAUGGCGUGGACAUUAGCAUACAAAAAUUGACAAUCAUUCUGAAUUCUUAUUUUAUGACCCUAAAAUGCGAAAAACGAGAAACAAUCAUGGCGUAACGAUGAAUAUUGUUCAUUAGGUCAUUUUUGAUGAGCCCACAAAAUUUUAGGCGAUUCAAAACCCGUCGCCCGAAUUCAUGAAGAUGGUGUGGCAAUUAGCACACAAAAACUGAAAAUCAUCCUGAGUUUAUUUCUUACGGCGGCAAUGACUAUAUUUCAUUAGGUCGUUUCUUAUGGGCCCAUAAAAUUUUAGGCGAUUCGGAGCUCGCCGCCCGAAUUUAUGAAGAUGGUGUGGACAUUAGCACCUGAAAAUUGGAAUCGUCUUGAAUUCUGGUUAUAUGUCCCUUAAACAACAAAACAAUGAGUAACGAUCAUGGCAAAGCGAUAACUAUAGUUCAUUAGGUCAUUUCUAAUGGGCCCACAAAUUUUAGGCUAUUCGGAGCCCAUCGCCCGAAUUCAUGAUGAUGACGCGGAUAUUAGCACACGAAAAAAUAGAAAUCGUCCUCAAUUCCUAUUUUAUAGCCCUAAAACGCAAAAAAUAAAAAAUAGUCAUUGCAAAGUAAUGCCUAUUAUUCAUUAAGUCAUUUUUGAUGGGCCCACAAAAUUUUAGGUGAUCUGGAGCCCGUCGACCGAAUUUCAAGAAGAUGGUGUGGACAUUAGCACACAAAAAUUGGAAAUCAUCAUGAUUUCCUAUUUUAUAGCCCUAAAACACCCAAAAUAUAAGGAAAAAUUACAGCAAAGCGAUAACUAUUGUUCAUUAGGUCAUUUUUGAUAGAAUUGCAAAUUUUUAAGCGACUCGGAGCCCGUCACCCGAAUUUAUGAAGAAGAUGUGAACAUUAGUAUACGAAAAAUUAGAAAUUAUCCUGAAUUCGUUUUUAUGGCCCUAAAACGGCAAAAAACGAGGAAUAGACUUGGCAAAGUAAUGCCAAUUGUUCAUUUGGUCAUUUCUGAUGGGUUCACAAUAUUUUAGGCGAUGCGGAGCCCGUCACCUGAAGCCACGAAGAUGGCGUGAAUAUUAACACAUGAAAAAUUAGAAACCAUCUCGAAUUCUUAUUUUAUGGCCCUAAAAUGCCAAAAAAUAAGGUAAUGUCAAAAAACGACAUAAGGAACAUUAGUUAUCGCCUUGCCAUGACCGUUCCUCAUUUUUUGGAAUUUUAGGGCCAUAAAUUAUAAUUUCGUCCGAUUUCCAAAUUUUCGUGUACCCACGCCAACCGCAUGGGACCAGGCGCACGAACCCGGAUCCUCUAAAUUUUUUCCAACCCAUCAAAAAAGACCAAAGGAAUCUUAGUCAUCGCUUCGCCAUGGCCGUUCCUCGUUGUUUUGUUUUAGGGCCGUAAAACUGAAAUUUUGCCAGAUUCAUAGAUUUUCAUAUGCUAUCGCCCACGCCAUCUACAUGGGUCCGGGCGCCCUGACCUGAAUCGCCAAAAAUUGUCGGCCCAUCAAAAUCGACCUAAGGAACAUUAGCGAUCGCCUGCCAUGGCCGUUCCUUAUUUUUUGGCAUUUUACGACCAUAAAAUAUGAAUUUCUCCCGAUUACCCAGAUUUUCGUGUGCUAUAACCCACGUCAUCCGCAUGAGUCCGGGCACCCAGACCCAGAUCGCCUAAAAUUUUGUCGGCCCAAAAAAAACUCUCUAAUAUUAGUCAUUGCCUUGCCAUGAACGUUCCUCUUUUUUGGCAUUUUAGGGACAUAAAACUUAAAAUCCGCACGAUUCCUAGCUUGUCAUGUGUUAUAGCCCAUGUCAUCCGCAUGGGUCUGGUGUGUAGCAACCCGGCCGGUCAUUUCGAUAGUUGUAGUCCUGUUCUCCUAUUUUCUACUCCUUUUGUGCUCUACAACUGUUAUAUGACUUACUAGGUUAGUUGGUUUGGGCCCGAAGUGAUUUCAGAGUGAAUUGAGACACUUAGUCUCAUAAUUGAAAGCUUAAGUUGGAAAAGUUGACCGGAUAUUGGCUUAUAUGUAAACGACCUCGGAUUUGAAUUUUGAUGGUUUCGUUAGAUCCGUUAGGUGAUUUUGGACUUAGGAGCGUGUCCGGAUUGUAAUUUGAAGGUCUGUAGUAGAAUUAGGUUUGAAAUGGUGAAAGUUGGAAUUUUGGAACGUUUGACCGGAAGUGGACUUUUUGAUAUCGGGAUCAGAUUGGAUUUUCGGAAGUGGGAGUAGGUUCGUGGUGUCAUUUUUGACUUGUGUGCAAAAUUUGAGGACAAUCGGACGUGAUUUGAUAGGUUUCGACGUUGUUUGUAGAAUUUGAAAAUUUCAUAGUUCAUUAGGCCUGAGUUGGGGUGCGAUUCGAUUUUUUGAUAUUGUUUGAGGUGGUUAGAGGGUUCAACUAAGUUCGUAUGAUGUUUUAAUACUUGUUGGUAUGUUUGGUUGAGGUCCCGGGGCCUCGGGUUGAUUUCGGGUGGUUAACGGACUUGGAAUUUGAUUUGAGAAGUUUUGGAAGUCUGUGUGCUGCUGGUGUAAUCGCACCUGCGGAGUGGGAACCGCAGAUGCGAGCCCGCAAUUACGGGUGAAGGUCCAUAGAUGCAGAUAUGGGGGAGAGAAGUCAGUGGGACACAGGCAUGAAGGUUUUCCCACACCAGCGAGACCGCAGAUGCGGGGUGAAGGCCGCAAAAGCAAAGGAAGGAAGGGGAGCUGGGUUCCACAGAAGCGGAGGAUACCAUGCAGGGGCGUGUAUGCAGGAGCAGAUGUGGGAGCCGCAGAUGCGUAGGUCACCGCAGAAGUGGGUAUUUUGUCGCUCCUACGAGGCCGCAGAAGCGGCUUAGUUGCCGCAUGUACGGAAAGCCUGGGCAGAAACUAUAUAAGCGAGGGUUCCGAGAUUUUCACCAUUUCUAACAUUUUGAGCUCGGACUUUAGAGGUUUUUGAGAGGGUUUUUGAAGGGGAUUCUUGAGGUAAGUUCCUUGUGUUCAUAUUUCUUCAAUAAUUAUGUUUCCUCCCUGAUUUUCCACCUAGUUAGUGUAUUUUUAAGGUGUAAUUUGGGGGUUUGAGGCUAGGGAUUUGGAAAGUUAAUUUUUGGAAUUUGAAUGAUCAAUUGGUAUCGGAUUUUGAUAAAUUUGGUAUGACUAGACUCGUGAGUGGAUGGGCUUUCGGAUUUUGUGAGUUUUGUUGGAUUCCGAGAUGUGGGCCUGGGGGGCGGUUUGGAACCAAUUUCGGAUUUUGAGUUAUAACUUAGUAAUUUCUUGUAGAAUUGAUUCCUUUAGCCCGUAUUGAUUGUAUUGUACUGUUUGUGGCUAGAUUUGAGUCAUUUGGAGGCUGAUUUGCUAGGCAAAGGCAUAUUGGAGUAGGGAUUUUCUCGGAUUGAGGUAAGUAACACUUCUAAACUUGGUUCUGAGGGUUCGAAACCCUGAAUGUAUGUGUUAUGUGAUGGGUAUUGAGGUGACGCAGAUGCCAAGUGACGGGCGUGCACCGUGAGAAUUGUGACCUGGUCGAUUCCAUGGCACUGUAUAGUGGUUCUAUCUUGUUGACAUCCGUGUCUUCACCAUGUGAUAAAGUAAUUGAGUUGUCACCCAUGCUAGAUAUCAUGUUUAGGCUUUAUGCCAGUACUGUUGGGGCCCAUAGUGGUCGUUUCUUGCUAUUGUCUUAAUGAUUUCAUUGAUAUUUCCUACUCAGUCAUUUUCAUUCAUUUCAUAUCAUAUCUCAGUCUUUGUUGUUAUUUAUUGAUACAUCAUAUCAUGAUUUUCGGGCUAGUAUCAUGACACUGUGAGCCCGUGAGAGAGAGACUGGAGAGAUUGAUGAUUGAGUGAGGCCGAGAGCCUGAUUAUAAGUGACAUUUAUGGGAUCGUGCAGCACGUCGUAACGAUUGUACUGAUUUAUAAUAGCGCUUGGGCUGAAGGAGCCCCUCUGGAGUCUGCACACACCCCCAGUGAACGCAGUUGAUUAUAUUGAGGGAUGGAUCUUCCCUGGAUAUGGAUCUUGUCCGAAGCAUUAUAUACCUGGAGAUGGAUCUUCUCCACGGGCUGGAUUGGCCCUACUCAGUACUGGGUGACUGAUGGUCAGUGAUGUAUAUAUUCCGAGAUGGAUCUUUCCUGGGCCGUAUGGGCCAUAUACAGUACUGAGUGAUUGAGCAUUUGAGAGUGUGAGCACAUGCGACUGUCAGCAUGGUGUGUCACAUACAACAUGUGCAUUGACAUGUAGAAGUAGAGGAGUUAUAUUAUUCAUACCAUUCAGAGUUGAUCCAUUUUACUAUUUUGAGAUAUCUAUCGAACUUGAAAGUAUGUCUACAUUUCUGCAUUGUUAUUUUCUAUAUUGAACUGUGCCGGUUAAGUUCGUCACUACUUUCAGUCCAAAGUUUGGAUUUGUUACUUAUUGAGUUGGUUAUACUCACGCUACACCCUGCACCUCGUGUGCAGAUUUAGGUGCUUCCGGUUACGGCGGCUGCUGAGUGAGGAGUCGAGAUCUCAGAGACUAUCGAGGUAGUUGCAUGGCGUUCGCAGGCCUUGACUCUCCUUCAUUAUCUUUAUUUGUAUUUCAGUUCUUAUUCCUCAGGCAUUGUAGUAGGCUGUAUCCUGGUAUAGAUGCUCAUGUACUCGGUGACACCCCAGUUUUUGGGAGAAAUUGUAUUGGGUUGCGUAUCUAUUUUCUGUUAUCAAAAAGGUUUUCCUUAAAUAUUAACUGCUUCCGUAUUUUUUUCAAGCUUUUUGUUAUGUUGAAAUAGUUGAGUAAUUGGCCUGCCUAGUUCCACGAUAGGUGUCAUCACGACGGUUGUUUUGGGUCGUGACAUGGUGGCCCGGACCCGGAUCGCAUAAAAUUUGGCCAGCCCAUCAAAAACAAACUAAGGAAUAUUAGUCACCACCUAGCCCCAACCGUUCCUCAUUUUUUGGCAUAUCAGGGACAUAAAACUAGAAUUCUGCCCGAUUUCCAGAUUUUCGUGUGUUAUAGCCCACGGCUUCUACAUGGACCCGGGCGACCAGACCCGAAUCGAUUAAAAUUUUGUCGGACCAUCAAAAACGACAUAAGGAACAACAACUACCACUUCGCCAUAACCGUCCCUCGCUUUUUGGCAUUUUAGGGCCAUAAAAUUAGAAUUUUGCCCGAUUUCUAUAUUUUUGUGUGCUAUCCCACGCCUUCUGUAUGGGCCCGGGCGACCAGACCCGGAUCACCUAAAAUUUUGUCGGACCAUAAGAAAUGACCUAAGGAACAAUAGUCACCGCCUCUCCAUGACAGUUCCUCGUUUUUUGGUGUUUUAGGGCCAUAAAACUAGAAUUUCGCAUGUUUUCCAGAUUUUCUUAUGCUAUAGCCCAUGCCUUUUGCAUGGGCCAAGGCGCCCAGAUCCGGAUUGCCAAAAAUUUGGCCAGACCAUAAAAACUACAUAAUGAACAAUAGUCACCGACUCUCCCUGAACAUUUCUCGGUUUGUGCAUUUUAGGGCCCUAAAACUAGAAUUUCGCCCGAUUUUCAUAUUUUCGUGAUCUAUAGCCCACGCCAUCCGCAUAUGUCCGGGCGCCAGGAACUGGAUCUCCUAAAAUUUACUGGACCAUGAAAAAUGACCUAAGGAACAUUAGUCAUCGUCUCGCCAUAACCGUUACUCAUUUUUUGGCAUUUUCGGAAUAUAAAACUGGAAUUUCACAUGAUUCCCAAAUUAUCAUGUGUUAUAGCCUACGCCAUCUACAUAACGAUAGGCAUUGCAUAGCCAUGACCGUUUAUCGUUUUUCGACGUUUUAGGGUCAUAAAACUGAAAUUCUGCCAUAUUUCUAGAUUUUCGUGUGUUAUCGCCCACGCGAUCCGUAUAGGUCCGGGCACCCGAACCCGGAUCGCCUAUAAAACUUUUGACCCAUCAAAAAUGACCCAAGAAACAUUAGUAAUCUCCUCUCCAUAACCGUUCCUCAUUUUUUGGCGUUUUAGGGCCACAAAAGUGGAAUUCUACCAGAUUCUCAUAUUUUCAUGUGCUAUAGCCCAAGCCAUCCGGAUGGAUUCGGGCACCUAGACUAGGAUCGCCUAAAUUUUGUCGGCCCAUAAAAAAAGACCUAAGGAUCAUUAGUCAUCGCCUCUCCAUAACCAUUCCAUUUUAUUUGGUGUUUUAGGGCCAUAAAUGUGGAAUUCCGCCUGAUUCCUAAAUUUUCGUGUGCUAUAGCCCACGCCAUCUGCAUGGGUCCGAGCGCCCGGAUCUGGAUUACCUAAAAAUUUUCCGGCCUAUCAAAAACGGCCUAAGCAAUAUUAGUCAUCGCCUCGCCAUGACCGUUCCUCAUUGUUUUUGACAUUUUAGGACCGUAAAACUGGAAUUCCGCCACAUUCUCAGAUUUUAGUGUGCUAUAGCACACGCCAACUGCAUAGGUCCGGGCGCCAGAACCUGGACCACCUAAAAUUUUGCCGGCCUAUCAAAACGACCUAAGGAACAUUAGUCAUCGCCUCUCCAUGAUUGUUCCUCAUUUUUGGUAUUUUAGCGUCAUAAAACUGGAAUUCUACGUGAUUCCCCGAUUGUCGUAUUCUAUAGCCCACGCCAUCCACAUGGGUCCGCGCCCGGACCUGAAUCGCCUAAAAUUUUGCUGGUCCAUCAAAAAUAACAUAAGGAACAUUAGUCAUCACCUCGCCAUGACCUUUCUUCAUUUUUUUGCGUUUUAGGGUCCAAAUAUUGGAAUUCCGCCCGAUUUCUAGAUAUUCAUGUGCUAUAGCCCAUGCCAUCCGUAUGGGUCCGGGCGGCAGGACCCAAAUCGCCUAAAAUUUUGCCGGCCCACGAAAAAUGACCUAAGGAACAUUAGUCAUCGCCUCGCCAUGACUGUUCCUCAUUUUUUGGCGUUUUCGGAACAUAAAACUAGAAUUUCGCCUGAUUCCCAAAUUAUUGUGUGCUAUAGCCUACGCCAUCUGCAUGGAUCCGGGCGCACGGACCCAGAUAGCCUAAGUAAUAUUAGGCAUCGCAUAGCCAUAGUCGUUCCUCGCUUUUCGGCAUUUUAGGGCCAUAAAACUGAAAUUCUCCCCUAUUCCUAGAUUUUCGUGUGCUAUCGCCCACACCAUCCGUAUGGGCCCGGGAGCCCGGAUACGAAUCGCCUAUAAAAUUUUAGGCCCAUCAAAAAUGACAUGAGAAACAUUAGUAAUCGUCACGCCAUGAUCGUUCCUCAUUUUUUGGCAUUUUAGGGCCAUAAAACUAGAAUUCUGCCCGAUUCUGCCCACGCCAUCCGGAUGGGUCCGGUCACCCGGACCCGGAUCGCGGAUCACCUAAAAUUUUGCCAUUCCAUAAACAAAAACCUAAGGAACAUUAGUCAUCGCCUCGCCAUAACCAUUUCUUAUUAUUUGGAAUUUUGGGCCAUAAAACUAGAAUUUUACCCGAUUCCCAAAUUUUCGUGUGCUAUUGCCCACGCCAUCUGCAUGGGUCCAGGCUCUCGGACCUGGAUUGCCUAAAAUAUUUCCGGCCUAUCAAAAAUAACCUAAGCAAUAUUAGUAAUCAUCUCGCCAUGAUCGUUCCUUAUUUGUUUUCCUUAUUUUUGGCCUUUUUUUGUCAUAAAACUGGAAUUCCGCCAGAUUCUCAUAUUUUUGUAUGUAAGCACACGCCAUCCACAUGGGUCCGGGCGCCAUAACCUGGACCGCCUAAAAUUUUGACGGCCAAUCAAAAUGAUCUAAAGAACAUUAGUCAUCGCCUCGCCAUGACUGUUCCUCAUUUUUGGCAUUUUAGUGCCAUAAAACUGGAAUCCCGCCUUGCCGUGACCGUUCUUCGUUUUUUGGCAUUUUAGGAACAUAAAACUGGAAAUUCGCCCGAUUUCCAAAUUAUCAUACGCUAUAGCCUACGCCAUCCGUAUGGGUCUGGGCACCCGGACACAGAUUGCCUAAAAUUUGUCGACCCAUAAAAUACGACCUAAGGAACAUUAGUCAACGCAUCGCUAUCACCGUUCCUCAUUUUUCGGCGUUUUAGGGCCAUAAAACUGAAAUUUCGCAAUAUUCCUAGAUUUUGGUAUGCUAUCGUCCAUGCCAUCCUUAUGGGCCCAUGAAAAAUGACCUAAGGAACAUUAAUUAUCACCUGGGCGCCCGGACACAGACCGCCUAAAAUUUGUCGGCACAUCGCCAUGAUCGUUCCUCAUUUUUUGGCAUUUUAGUGUCAUAAAACUGAAAUUUAAACCUAUUCCCAUAAUUUUGUGUGUUAUCGCCCGCUCCAUCUGUAUGGGUCCGAGCGUCCGGAUCCGAAUCGCCUAAAAUUUUGCCGGCCCAUCAAAAAUAACCUAAGGAACAUUAGCGAUCGCCUUUCCAUGAUCUUUUCUUAUAUUUUGGAAUUUUAGGGCCAUAAAUUUGGAAUUCCAUCCGAUUUCCAUAUUAUUUCAUGUGCUAUCGUCCACGCUAUCUGCAUGGGUUCGGGUGCCCAGACCCGGAUCGCCUAAAUUUUGCUGCCCAUUAGGAACGACCUUAGGAACAUUAGUCAGCACCUCAAGAUGGUCGUUACUCGCUUUUUGGCAUUUUAGGGUCGUAAAACUAGAAUUCUACCCGAUUCCUAGAUUUUCGUGUGCUAUAGCUCACGCCAUCCGUAUGGGUCUAGGCGCCCGGACCCGGAUAGUCUAAAAUUUUGCCAGCCCAUAAAAAAUGACUUAAGUAAUAUUUGCCAUCACCUCGCCAUGACCGUUCCUCGAUUUUUGGCAUUUAAGGGCCAUAAAAAUUGAAUUCCGCCCGAUUUCGAGAUUUUCGUGUGUUAGCCCACGCCUAAUGCAUGGACCCGGACGGUCGGACCCGGAUCGCCUAAAAUUUUUUCAAAACAUAAAAAGUGACGUAAGGAACAAUAUUCACCAUUUAUCCAUGACCGUUCCUCGAUUUUUUGCAUUUUAGGCCCAUAAAACUGAAAUUCCGCCCGAUUCUCAGAUUUUUGUGUGCUAUAGCCCACGCCUUCUGUUUGGGCCCGGUCGACCGGACCCGGAUCACCUAGAAUUUUUUUGGACCAUAAAAAAUGACCUAAGAAACAAUAGUCACCGCCUCGCCAUGACCGUUCCUCAUUUUUUGGCGUUUUGUGGCCACAAAACUAGAAUUUCGCCCGAUUCCUAAAUUUUCGUGUCUAUAAUCCACUCCAUCCGCAUUUAUCCGGGCGCCAGGACCCGAAUCACUUAAAAUUUUGCCGGCCCAUAAAAAAUAACUUAAGGAGCAAUAGACUCCGCCUUGCCAUGACCGUUCCUCAUUUUUGGCAUUUUAGGGCCGUAAAACUAGAAUUCCGCCUGUUUCCAAGAUUUUUAUGUGUUAUAGCCCAUGCCUUCUGCAUGGGCCCGGGCGGCCGAACCCGGAUCGCCUAAAAUUUUGUCGGCCUAUAAAAUAACAAACUAAUGAAUAUUAAUCAUCGCCUCACCAUGACCGUUCCUCUUUUUUUAGAGUUUCAGCACCAUUAAAUUGGAAUUUUGACCGAUUUCCAAAUUUUCAUGUGCUAUAGCCCAUGCCAUCCGCAUGGGUCUGGGCGCUCGGACCCGGAUCGCCUAAAAAUUUCCGGCCCAUAAAAAAUGACCUAAGGAACAUUAGUCAUCGCAUCGCCAUGAUCGUUCCUCAUUUUUCUGGCAUUUUAGGGUAUUAAAACUAAAAUUCCGAUCUAUUCCCAUAUUUUCGUGUGUUAUCGCCCAAGCCAUCCGUAUGAGUCCAAGCGCCCGGACCCUAAUCGCCUAAAAUUUUGUCGGCCCAUAAAAAUGACCUUAGGAACAGUAGCGAUCGCCUUGCCAUGACCGUUCCUUAUUAUUUUUGGCAUUUUAGGGCCAUAAAUAUAGAAUUCCAUCCGAUUCACAGAUUUUCAUAUGCUAUCGCCCACGCCAUGUGCAUGGGUCCGGGUGCCCAGAAUCGGAAUGCCUAAAUUUUGUAUGCCCAUCAAGAACGACCUUAGGAACAUUAGCCAUCACCUCGAGAUGGUUGUUACUCAUUUUUUGGCGUUUUAGGGCCGUAAAACUAGAAUUUAACCCGAUUCCCUAAUUUUAGCAUGCGCCCACGCCAUCAGCAUGUAUCUGAGCGCCCGAACCCGGAUCGCUUAAAAUUUUGUCGGCCCAUCAAAAACGACCUAAGGAAUAUUAGUCAUCAACUCGUCAUGACCGUUCCUUUUUUCUUUGGCACUUUUGGGCCAUAAAAUUAUAAUUCUGCCCGAUUCCUAGAUUUUCUUGUGCUAUAGCCCACGCCAUCCGUAGGGUCUGGACGGCCGGACCCGGAUAGCCUAAAAAUUUGUCGGCCCAUCAAAAAUGGCCUAAGACAUAUUAGUCAUCACCUCACCAUGACCGUUCCUCAGGUUUUAGCAUUUAAGGGCCAUAAAACUAGAAUUCCGCCCGAUUUUCAAACUUUCGUGUGUUAGCCCACGCCUUCUGCAUGAACCGGAUUGCCUAAAAUGUUUGCCGAACUAUGAAAAAUGACAUAAGGAACAAUAAAAUUCAUUCGCAUGUAUCCGGGGGCCCGGAUCCAGAUUACUUAAAAACUUUUUAGCCCAUCAAAAAUGACCUAAGGAACAAUAGUCUCCGCCUCACCAUGACUGUUCCCCAUUUUUUGGCGUUUUAGGGACAUAAAACUAGAAUUUUGUGUGUUUUCCAAAUUUUCAAGUGCUAUAGCCCAGGCAUUUUGCAUGGGCCCGGGCGGCCAGACUCGGAUCGCCUAAAAUUUUUACGGCCUAUCAAAAACAACCUAAGGAGCAUUAGUCAUCGCCUCACCAUGAUUGUUCCUCUUUUUUGGUGUUUUAUGGCCAUAAAACUGGAAUUUUGCCUGAUUCCUAGAUUUUCGUUUGGUACUACCCACGUCAUCCGCAUGGGUUUGGGCGCCCGACUCGGAUCGCCUAAAAUUUUGUCUACCCAUCGAAAAUGAUAUAAGAAACCUUAUUCAUCUCCUCUCCAUUACCGUUCCUCUUUUUUGGCAUUUUAGGGUCUUAAAACUUGAAUUCUACCUGAUUCUCAUUUUUUUCAUGAGCAUAGCCCACGCCAUCCAAAAGGGUUCGAGCACCCGGGCCCAUAGCCUAAAAUUUUUUCGGCCUAUCAAAAAUAACCUAAGGAAUAUUAGACAUCACCUCGUCGUGACCGUUCCUCAUUUUUUGGCGAUUUUGGGACAUAAAACUGAAAUUUCGCAUGAUUCUCAGAUUUUCGUGUGCUAUAGCCAAAACCAUCCACAUGGGUGAGGGCGCGUGGACCUCAAUAGCCUAAAAAAAUUUGGCCCAUCAAAAAUGACCUGAGGAACAUUAGUAAUCAUCUCGCCAUGACCGUUCCUCAUUGUUUUGCAUUUUAGGGCCCUUAAACUAGAAUUCUGCUUGAUUCUCAUAUUUUUAUGUGCUAUAGUCCAUGCCAUCCGGAUGGGUACGGGCACCCGGAUCGCCUAAAUUUUUUUCUGCCCAUAAAAAAGACCUAAGGAACAUUAUUCAUCGUCUCUCCAUAAUCAUUCCUUAUUUUUUGGUGUUUUAGGGCCAUAAAGCUGGAAUUUCGUCUGAUUCCCAAAUUUUCGCGUGUUACAGCCCACACCAUUCGCAUGGGUCCGGGCGCCUAGACCCGGAUCGCCCAAAAUUUUGCCAUCCUAUCAAAAAUGACCUAAGCAAUAUUAGUCAUCGCCUCGCCAUGACCGUUACUCAUUUUUGGCAUUUUAGUGCCAUAAAAUUAGAAUUUUACCUGAUUCCGUGAUUUUCGUGUCCAAUUGCCCAUGCCAUCUGCAUGGGUCCGGGCAUCCGGACUCGAAUCGCCUAAAAUUUUAUCGACCCAUCAAAAACAACAUAAGGAACAUUAGUCAUCACCUCGCCAUGACAUUUCCUCAUUUUUUGGCGUUUAAGGACCAUAAACUGAAAUUCCGCCCGAUUCCCAAAUAUUCGUGUGCGCCCACGCCAUCUGCAUGGGUCUGGUCGCCUGAACCUGGAUCGCUUAAAAUUUGACGGCCUAACAAAAAUGACCUAAGGAACAUUAGUCAUUGCCUCGCCAUUAUCGUUCCUCUUUUUUUGGCGUUUUAGCCCCAUAAAACUGGAAUUUUGCCCGAUUCCCAAAUUUUCAUAUGUUAUAGCCUACACCAUCCGCAUGGGUCUGAGCGUCUGGACCCGGAUCGCCUAAAAUUUGCCAGCCCAUCAAAAAGGACCUAAGGAACAUUAGUCAUCACAUCGCCAUGACCGUUCCUCAUUGUUUUGGUAUUUUAGGGUCAUAAAACUUAAAUUCCGACCUAUUCCCAUAUUUUUGUAUGUUAUCGCCCACGCCAUCCGUAUGGGUCCGAGCGGCCGGACCCGAAUAGCUUAAAAAAAUUUCAGCCCAUCAAAAAUGACCUAAGGAACAUUAGCGAUUGUCUUACUUUAACCGUUCCUUAUUUUUUGGCAUUUUAGGGCCAUAAAUUUGGAAUUCCGUCUCAUUCCCAGAUUUUUGUGUGUUAUCGCCCACACUAUUUGCAUGGGCACGGGCACCCAGACCUGAAUCGCUUAAAUUUUGCCUGCCCAUCCAGAACUACCUAAGGAAUAUUAGUCAUUACCUCACCAUGGUCGUUACUUAUUUUUUGGCAUUUUAGGGCCGUAAAAUAAGAAUUCCACCCGACUCCUAGAUUUUCGUAUGUUAUAACCCACGCCAUCAGCAUGUAUCUCGGCCCCUGGACCCGGAUCGCUUAAAAUUUUGACGGCCCAUUAAAAUUGACCUAAGGAACAUUAGUCAUCACCUCGCCAUCCAUAAAACUAGAAUUUUGUCUGAUUUCUAGAUUUUCGUGUGUUAUAGCUCACGCCUUCUGCAUGGACCUGGGCGGCUGGAUCCGGAUUGCCUAAAAUUUUGCCAGAACAUCAAAAAUUACAUAAAGAACAAUAGUCACCACUUCGCUAUGACCGUUCCUCAUUUUUGGCAUUUUAGGGCCAUAAAACUAGAAUUCUGCCUGAUUCCUAGAUUUUCGUGUACUAUAGACCACGCCUUUUGCUUUGGCUCGGGCAAUCGAUCUCGGAUCACCUAAAAUAUUUUCAGACCAUAAAAAAUGACCUAAGGAACAACAAUCACCGCCUCGCUAUGACCGUUCCUCAUUUUUGGCGUUUUAGGACUAUAAAAUUGGACUUUCGCCCGUUUUCCAGAUUUUUGUGUGCAUAGUCCACGUCUUCUGCAUGGGCCUGGGCAGCCGGACCCGGAUUGCCUAAAAAUUUGCCGACUAUCAAAAAUGACCUAAUAAACAAUAGUAAUCGCCUCUCUAUGACCGUUCCUCUUUUUUGGCUUUUUAGGGCCAUAAAACUGAAAUUUCGCCCGAUUCCUAAAUUUUCAUGUGCUAUAGCCCAUGCUAUCCGCAUUUAUCUGGGCGCUAGGAACCGGAUCACUUAAAAUUUUGCUGGCCCAUAAAAUAACCUAAGGAGAAAUAGACUCUGCCUCGCCAUGACCGUUCCUCAUUUUUGGCGUUUUAGGGCCAUAAAAUUAGAAUUUUGCUCGUUUCUCUGAUUUUCGUAUGCUAUCCCGCGCCUUUUGCAUGGGCCCAGACAGUCGGACCCAAAUCGCCUAAAAUUUUGCCGGCCUAUCAAAAAUAAACCUAAGGAACAUUAGUCAUCACCUCAUCAUGACCCGCUUCUAUAUUUUCGUACAUAAUAGCACUUGUCAUCGGCAUGGGUUCGCGCGCCCGGACCUGGAUUGCCUAAAUUUUGAUGGCCCAUCGAAAACGACCUAAGGAACAUUAGCCAUCACCUCUCCGUGACCUUUCCUCAUUUUUUGGCAUUUUAGGGUCGUAAAAUUUAAAUUCUGCCUGAUUCCCAGAUUUGCGCGUGCUAUAGCCCACACCAUUCGCAUGGGUUCUGGCACCCGAACACGAAUCGCCUUUAGUUUUUGUCGGCCUAUCAAAAAUGACCUAAGGAACAUUAUCCAUCGCUUCGCCAUGACCAUUCCACAAUUUUUGGCUUUUUACGGCCGUAAAACUGGAAUUCCACCUGAUUCUCAGAUUUUCGUGUGCUAUAGUUCAUGCCAUUUGCAUAGGUCUUGGCGCCCGAUCUCGAAUAGCCUAAAAUUUUGUCGGUCCAUCAAAAAUUACCUAAGGAACAUUAGUCAUCGCCUUGCCAUGACCGUUCCUCUUUUUUUAGAGUUUCAGCACCAUUAAAUUGGAAUUUUGACCGAUUUCCAAAUUUUCAUGUGCUAUAGCCCAUGCCAUCCGCAUGGGACUGGGGGUCGGCCCCGGAUUGUCUAAAAUUUUUCCGGCCCAUAAAAAAUGACCUAAGGAACAUUAGUCAUCGCCUCGCCAUGACCGUUCCUCAUUUUUCUGGCGUUUUAGGGCCAUAAAACUGAAAUUUCACCCCAUUUCUAGAUAUUCGCGUGUCCUACGCCAUUCGCAUGGGUCCAGGAGCCUUGACCCAGAUCGCCUAAAAUUUUUCCUGCCCAUCANNNNNNNNNNNNNNNNNNNNNNNNNNNNNNNNNNNNNNNNNNNNNNNNNNNNNNNNNNNNNNNNNNNNNNNNNNGCCAACCCAUCAACAAAAAUGACUUAAGGAACAUUAGUCAUCGCCUCGCCAUGACCAUUCCUCAUUUUUUGGCGUUUUAGGGCCAUAAAACUGCAAUUCUACCCUAUUUACAGAUUUCAUAUGCCCCACGUCAUUCGCAUGGGUCCGGGCGCCUGGACUCGGUUCGCCUAAAACUUUGCCUGCCCAUGCCAAAUGACCUAAGAAACAGUACUCACCAUCUCGCCAUGAUCGUUUCUCCUUUUUGGCAUUUUAGGGCUGUAAACUAGAAUUCUGCCCGAUUUCCAGCUUUUCAGGUGCUAUAGCCCACGUCAUCGGCACAGUUCGGCGCGCCCAGACCUUGAUUGCUUAAAAAUUUUCCAUCCCAUCAAAAACUCCCUAAGGAACAUUAAUCAUCACCUCGCCAUGACUGUUCCUCAUUUUUUGGCAUUAAGGGCAGUAAAACUUGAAUUCCACCUGAUUCCUAGAUUUUCGCGUGCUAUAGCCCACACCAUCCACAUGGGUUCAAGUGCCCGGACCCGGAUCGCCUUUAAUUUUGUCGGCCUAUCUAAAAUGACCUAAGUAACAUUAUUCAUCGCAUCGCCAUGACAAUUCCAUAUUUUUUGGCUUUUUAGGGCCGUAAAACUGGAAUUUUGCCUGAUUCUCAAAUAUUUGUAUGUAAUAGCCCACGCCAUCCGUGUGGGUCUGGGCGCCCGAUCUCGGAUAGCCUAAAAUUUUGUCGGCCAAUCCGAAAUGACCUAAGGAACAUUAGUCAUCACCUUGCCAUGACCGUUCUUUAUUUUUGGUGUUUUAGGGCCAUAAAACUAGAAUUUCACCUGAUUCUCAGAUUUUCGUGUGCUAUAGUUAGCCCAUGCCAACCGCAUGGCUCCGAGCACGCGGACACGGAUCAUCUAAAAUUUAUUCGGCCCAUAAAAAAUGACCUAAGGAACAUUAGUCAUCACCUCGCCAUGACCUAGGACAUAUUAGUCAUCACCUCUCCAUGACCGUUCCUCGAUUUUUGGCAUUUAAAGGCGAUAAAACUAGAAUUUUGCCAGAUUUCUAGAUUUUCGUGUGUUAUAGCCCGCGCCAUCUGCAUGGACCGGGGCGGCCAGACCCGGAUCAUCUAAAAUUUUGCCGGACCAUCAAAAAUGACACAAGGAACAAUAGUCACCACUUCGCCACCAUUCCUCAUUUUUUGGCAUUUUAGGGCCAUAACUGAAAUUUCGCUUAUUUCCCACAUUUUCUUGUGCUAUAGCCCAUGCCUUCUGCAUGGCCAAGGCAGACGGACUUGGAUCGCCUAAAAUUUGGACGGACCAUAAAAAAUGACCUAAUGAACAAUAGUCACCACCUCCAUGACCGUUCUUCGUUUUUGGCAUUUUAGUGCCAUAAAACUAGAAUUUCGCCUAAUCCCCAAACUUUUGUGUUCUAUAGCCCACGCCAUCCGCAUGUAUCAGGGCGCCCGGACCCAGAUCGCUUAAAAUUUGUCCAACCCAUAAAAAAUGACCUAAGAAAAAAUAGUCUCCGCCUCGCCAUGACCGUUUCUCAUUUUUUGGCGUUUGGGACCAUAAAACUGGACGUUCGCCUAUUUUCCAGAUUUUCGUGUGCUAUAGCCCACAACUUCUGCAUGGUCCCGGGCGGCCAGACCCGGGUCGCCUAAAAUUUUGCCGACUAUCAAAAAUAACCUAAGGAACAUUAGUUACCGCCUCACCAUGAUCGUUCCUUAUUUAUUGGCGUUUUAGGGCCAUAAUACUGGAAUUCUACCCGAUUCCAAGAAUUUUGUGUGUUAUAGCCCAUGUCAUCGUCAUAAGUCCAUGCACUCGGACACGGAUCGCCUCGUCAUGACCAUUCCUCGUGUUUUGGCGUUUUAGGGCUACAAAACUAAAAUUUCGCCCGAUUUCCAGAUUUUCAUGUGCUAUAGCCCACAUCAUCAGCAUGGGUCUGACCCAUAAAAAAUGACAUACAGAAUAUUAGUCAUCAUCUCACCAAGACCAUUCCUCCUUCUUUGGCAUUUUAGGGCGACAAAAUCGGAAUUUCGCCCGAUUCCCAAAUUUUCAUGUGUGAUAGCCCACGCUAACUGCAAGGGUCAGGACUCCCAGACCCGGAUCGCCUCAAAUUUCCCCGGCCCAUCAAAAACAAUCUAAAGAACAUUAGUCAUCGCCUCUUCUGCCGAUUCCAUGAUUUUCAUGUGCUAUAGCACACGCCAUCCGCAUGGGUCUAGGCGCCCAGACCCAAAUCUUAUAAAAUUUUGUCUGCCCAUCGAAAAUGACCUAAUAAACAUCUUGGGCAUGACCGUUCCUCAUUCUUUGGCGUUUUAGGGCCAUAAAUUUUGAAUUCCGUCUGAUUCCCAGAUUUUCAUAUUUUAUCGCCCACGCCAUCUGUAUAGGUCCGGGUGCCCAGACACGGAUCGCCUAACUUUUGCCUGCCCAUCAAAAUUGACCUAAGGAACAUUUGGCAUCACCUCUCCAUAGCUGUUACUUAUGUUUUAGCAUUUUAGGGCCGUAAAAUAAGAAUUCAACCCGAUUCCCAAAUUUUCGUGUGCUAUAGCCCACGCCAUCAGCAUGUAUCUCAGCGCCCAAACCCGGAUCGCUUAAAAAAAAUCGGCCCAUCAAAAACGACCUAAGGAAUAUUAUUCAUCACCUCGCCAUGAUCAUUCCUUAUUUUUUGGCACUUUUAGGCAGUAAAAUUAUAAUUCCGCCUGAUUCCCAGAUUUUCGUGUGCUAUAGCCCACGCCAUCCGUUUGGGUGUGGGCGCCCGUACCCGGAUCGCUUAAAAAAUUUUCGGCCCAUCAAAAAUAACACAAGACAUAUUAUCAUCACCUCGCCAUGACCGUUCCUUGACUUUUGGCAUUUAAAGGUCAUAAAACUAGAAUUUUUCCCGAUUUUUAGAUUUUUAUGUGUUAUAGCCCACGCUUUCUGCAUGGACCUGGCCAGCCUAAACCGGAUCGUCUAAAAUUUUAUCGGACCAUCAAAUUGGAAUUUCUCUUGUUUCCCAAAUUUUCUUGUGCUAUAGCCCACGCUUUCUGCAUGGGCCAAGGCGGCCAGACCUGGAUCGCCUAAAAUUUGGCUGGACCAUCAAUAACGACCUAAUGAACAAUAGUCACCGCCUCUCCCUGACCGUUCCUUUUUUUUGGAAUUUUAGGACCAUAAAAUUGAAAUUUCGUCUGAUUCUCAAAUUUUCAUGUGUUAUAUCCCACGCCAUCCGCAUGUAUCCGGGCGCCUUGACCCUGAUCACUUAAAAUUUUGUGGGCCUAUUAAAAAUGACCUAAGGAACAUUAGUCUCCACCUCUCCAUGACCGUUCCUCGUGUUUUAGCGUUUUAGGACCAUAAAACUGGACUUUUUGCCCGUUUCCUAGAUUUUCGUGAGCUAUAGCCCAUGCCUUAUGCAUGGGCCCGGGUGGCCAGACCUGGAUCGCCUAGAAUUUUACCGACUAUCAAAAACAUCCUAAGGAACAUUAGUCAUCGCCUCACCAUGAUUGUUUCUCUUUUUUGGCGUUUUUGGGCGGUAAUACUGGAAUUUCGCCUAAUUCCAAGAUUUUCGUAUGUUAUAGCCCAUAUUAAUGGCAUGGGUCUGCGCGCCCAGUCCCAGAUCGCCUAAACUUUUGCCGGCCCAACAAAAGCGACCUAAGGAACAUUAGUCAUCGCCUCAACAUGACCGUUUCUCAUUUUUGGCAUUUUAGGGCGGUAAUACUGGAAUUUCACCCGAUUCCAAGAUUUUCGUAUGUUAUAGCCCAUGUCAUCGGCAUGGGUCUGCGCGCCCGGUCACGAAUCGCCUAAAAUUUUGUCGGCCCAUCCAAAGCGACCUAAGGAACAUUAGUCAUCGUUUCGCUAUGACCGUUCCUCAUUUUUGGCAUUUUAGGGCCGUAAAACAUGAAUUGCGCCUAAUUCCCAUAUUUUCCAAUGCUAUAGCCCACAUCAUCCGCAUAGGUUCGGGCGCCAGGACCCGGAUCGCCUAUAAUUUUGUCGGCCUAUCAAAAAUGACCUAAGGAACAUUAUUCAUCUCUUCUUCAUGACCCUUCCAUAUAUUUUGGCUUUUUAGGGCCGUAAAAUUGGGAUUCCGCCUGAUUCUCAUAUUUUCGUGUGUUAUAACCCAUGCCAUUCGUGUGGGUCUGGGUGCCCGAUCUCGGAUAACCUAAAACUUUUUCAGCCCAUCAAAAAUGACCUAAGGAACAUUAGUCAUCGCCUUUCCAUAACCGUUCCUCAUUUUGUGGCAUUUAGGGCCAUAAAAUUGGAAUUCCGUCUGAUUCUUAAAUUUUCAUGUGUUAUAGUUCACGCCAUCCGCAUGGGACUGGGGGUCGGCCCCGGAUUGUCUAAAAUUUUUCCGGCCCAUCAAAAAUAUCCUAAGGAACAUUAGUCAUCGCCUCGCCAUAUCCAUUCCUCAUUUUUGGCGUUUUAGGGCCAUAAAACUGAAAUUUCACCCCAUUUCUAGAUAUUCGCGUGUCCUACGCCAUUCGCAUGGGUCCAGGAGCCUUGACCCAGAUCGCCUAAAAUUUUUCCUGCCCAUCAAAAAUGACCUAAGGAACAUUAGUCACCGUCUCUCCAUGACCGUUUCUCCUUUUUUGGUAUUUUAGGGUCGUAAAACUGGAAUUCCGCCCGAUUUUAAGAUUUUCGUGUGUUAUAGCCCACACCAUCCGCAUGAGUCCGGGCGCCGAGACACAGAUCGCCUAAAAUUUUGUCAUCCUAUCAAAAAAGACCUAAGGAACAUUAGUCAUCACCUCGCCAUGACCGUUCCUCAUUUUUUGGCGUUUUAGGGCCAUAAAACUAAAAUUUCGCAUAAUUUCUAGAUUUUUGUGUGCUAUAGCCCACGUCAUCCGUAUGGGUCAGUUUGCGCGAACCCGGAUCGUCUAAAAUUUGCUGGCCAAUCAAAAACAACCUAAGGAACAUUAGUCAUCGCUUGGCCAUGACCGUUCCUCGUUUCUUAGCGUUUUAGGGCUACAAAUUCCACCUGAUUCCUAGAUUUUCGUAUCCUAUAGCUCACGCCAUCCGGAUGGGUCCGGGCACCCAGACCCGCAUCGCCUAAAAUUUUGUCGACGCAUAAAAAAGGUCCUAAAGAACAUUAGUCAUCUCCUCGCCAUAAACAUACCUUAUUUUUGGCAUUUUAGGGCCAUAAAACUAGAAUUUCACCCGAUUCUUAUAUUUUCGCGUGCUAUCCGUAUGGGUCCGGGCGCCCGGACCCGGAUAGCCUUAAAGUUUGUCGACCAUCAAAAAUUACCUAAGAAAUAUUUGUCAUCGCCUUGCCAUGAACGUUCCUCGUUGUUUUGCGUUUUAGGGAUGUAAAAUUGGAAUUUUGCGUGAUUCUAUAAUUUUUGUGUGAUAUAGCCCAUGCCAUCCGCAUGGGUCCAGGCGCCAGAAACUGGACCGCCUAAAAUUUUUUCAGUCAAUCAAAAACAACAUAAGAAACAUUAGUCAUCUCUUCUCCAUAAUCGUUCCUCGUGUUUUGGCAUUUUAGAACCGUAAAAUCUGAAUUCUGCCCGAUUCCCAAAUUUUCGUGUGUUAUAGCCCACGCCAUCCGCAUGGGAACAAGCGCCCGGUCCUGGAUCGCCUAAAAAUUUUCCUACCUUUUAAAACGACAUGAGAAACAUUAUCCAUCGCGAGCCAUGAUCGUUCCUUAAAUUCCGCGUAAUUCCCCGAUUUUCAUGUACUAUAGCCCACGCCAUACUCAUGGAUUCAGGCGUCUAACCCCGGAUCGCCUAAAAAAUUUUAGGCCCAUCAAAAACGACCUAAGAAACAUUAGUCAUCACCUGGCCAUGACCGUUCCUCAUUUUUUGGCAUUUUAGAGCCAUAAAAUUGGAAUUCUGCCUGAUUCUCAGAUAUUCGUAUGCGUCCGGGCGCCCGAUCCCUCACAGCCUAACAAUUUGCUGGCUUGUCAAAUACGACCUACAGAACAUUAGUCAUCACCCCGCCAUGGUCGUUCCUCGUUUUUGGCAUUUUAGGGCCGUAAAACUGGAAUUCUCCCUCAUUCCCAUAUUUUCGUAUACUAUAGCCUUAGCCAUCCGCAUGGAUCCAGGCGCCCGAACACGAAUCGCCUAAAAUUUUGUCGGUCCAUAAAUAACAACCUAAGGAACAUUAGUCAUCACCUCGCCUUGACCGUUCCUCAUGUUUUGGCAUUUUAGGGCCGUAAAACUAAAAUUUCGCCCGAUUCACAGAUUUUCGUGUGUUAUAGCCCACGCCAUCUGCAUGGGUGUCGCCUAAAAUUUUACCGACCCAUCAAAAAUGACCUAAGGAACAUAAGUCAUUGUUUCUCCAUGAUCCUUCCUCAUUUUUUGGUGUUUUAGAGCCGUAAAGCUAGAAUUCCUCACGAUUCCCGGAUUUUCAUGUGCUAUCGCUCACGUCAUCCGUAUGAGUCCGGGAGCCCGGACCUGGAUCUCCUAAAAUUUUGUCGUCCCAUGAAAAAUGACCUAUGGAACAUUAAUCAUCACCUCGCCAUGGCAGUUCCUACUAUUUUUGUAUUUUAGGGCUAUAAAAGUGGAAUUUCGCUCAAUUCUCAAAUUAUCAUGGAAUUUCGACUCAUGACAUUCGCUUGGGUCCGGGCUCCCGGACCUGAACCGCCUAAAAUUUUGCCGACCCAUAAAAAAUAACCUAAGGAACAUUAGUCAUCGCCUCGCAGUGGCCGUUCAUCGUUUUUUGGCAUUUUAGGGGCAUAAAACUGAAAUUUUGUCCGAUUCUCAUAUUUUCGUAUGAUAUAGCCCAUGCCAUCCUCAUGGGUCCAGGCGCCGGGACCCGGACCGCCAAAAAGCUUUUCGGCCCAUAAAAGACUACGUAAAGAAUAUUAAUCUCCACGCUAUGACCGUUCAUCAUUUUUUGGCAUUUUAGAGCCUUAAAAAUGGAAUUCUACCCGAUUUCCUAAUUUUCGUUUGUUAUAGCCCAUGUCAUCCGCAUGGGUCUGAGCGCCCAGAGCUGGAUCGUCUAAAAUUUUGCCGACCCAUAAAAAACGAUCUAAGGAACAUUAAUCAUCGCCUUGCCAUGAAUGUUUCUCAUUUUUUGGUGUUUUAGGGCCAUAAAACUAGAAUUCUGCUCGAUUCCUAGAUUUUCAUGUGCUAUUGAAAGCCUAAAAAUUUUCGGCCCUUAAAAAAUAACCUAAGGAACAUUAGUCAUCGUCUCGCCAUGAUCGUUCCUUAUUUUUCUGGAGUUUUAGGGCCGUAAAACUAGAUUUUUGCUUGAUUCCAAGAUUUUCGUGUGCAAUAGCCCACGCUAUCCGCAUGGGUCCGGCGCCCGAACUCGGAUUGCCUAAAAUUUUGCCGGCCCAUCAAAAAUGAUCUAAGGAACUUUAGUCAUCACCUCGUCGUGACCGUUACUCGAUUUUUGGCGUUUUAGUGGCAUAAAACUGGAAUUCUGCCGAUUCCAAGAUUUCCGUGUGCCGCCAUCCUCAUGGGUCCAGGCGCCCAGACCCGGAUGGCCUAAAAUUUUGCCGGACCAUAAAAAACGACCUAAGGAACAUUAGCCAUCCCUCUCCAUGACCUUUCCUCUUUUUGGCAUUUUAGGGCCGUAAAACUGGAAUUCCGCCCAAUUCCCAGAUAUUUGUGUGUUAUAGCCCAUGCCAUCCGCAUAGGUCUGGGCGCUCGGACCCCGAUCUCCUAAAAUAUUAGCCGCCCAUAAAAAACAACCUAAGAAACAUUAGUCAUCGUCUCGCCAUGACCGUUCCUCGAUCUUGAUGUUUUAGGCCCAUAAAAACUUGAAUUCGUCUGAUUCUCUAAUUUUGUGUGUUAUAGCCCACGCCAUUGCGUGGGUCCAGGAGCCUAGACCUGAUCGCCUAAAAUUUUGUCGGCCCAUCAAAAACGAUCUAAAAACAUUAGUUAUCUCCUCUUUAUGAUCGUUCCUCAUUUUUGCGUUUUAGUGCCGUAAAACUGGAGUUCCGACGGAUACCUAGAUUUUUGUGCGUUAUGCCCCCCCCCCCCCCCAAUCGUCUGGGUCUGGGUCUGGGGCCCGGACCGGGAUGGUCUAAAAUUUUAGUCACCCAUCAAAAUCUACCUAAGAAAUAUUAGUCAUUGCAUCGCCAUGACCGUUGCUCCUUUUUGGUAUUUUUGGCUCGUAAAACUUGAAUUUCAUAUGAUUCUCAGAUUUCGUGUGCUAUACCCCACGCCAUCCGCAUGGGUUGGAUCGCCUAAAAUUUUACCGGCCUAUCAAAAACGAUCUAAGGAACAAUAAUCAUCGCAUCUUCAUGAUCGUUCCUCGUUUUCUGGCAUUUUGGGGCCGUAAAACUCAACUUCCUGUUGAUACUUAGAUUUUCUUGUGCUAUGGCCCCAGCCAUCCGCCUAGGUCCAGGCGCCCGAACCCGGAUCGCCUAAAAUUUUGUCGGCUCAUAAAAAACGACCUAAAAACAUUAGUAAUCACCUCGCCAUGAACGUUCCUCAUUUUUUGGCAUUUUAGGACCGUAAAACUAGAAUUUCGGUCGAUUUCCAGAUUUUCGUGUGCUGCCCACGCCAUUCGUAUGGGUCCAGGUGCCCGGACCCGGAUAGCCUAAAAUUUUGUCGGCUCAUAAAAAAUGACCUAAGGAAAAUUAGUCAUCGCCUCGCCAUGACUGUUCUUAUUUUUUGGCGAUUUAGGGCCAUAAAACUAGAAUUCCGACCGAUUCCUAGUUUUUCGUGUGCAGCCCACGCCAUCCGCAUGGGUCCAGGAGGCCGGACCCGGAUCGCCUUAAUUUUUUUUGGCCAAUCAAAAAUGAUCUAAGAAACACUAGUCAUCACCUCGCUAUGAACGUUCCUUGUUUUUUACGUUUAAGGGUCGUAAAACUUGAAUUCUGCUCGAUUCCCAAAUUUUCGUCUGCUAUAGACCACACCAUCUACUUGGGUCCGGGUGCCCGGACCCGGAUCUAUUAAAAUUUUGCCGACCCAUCAUAAAGACCUAAGGAACAUUAAUCAUCGGGUCUUUAUGACCGUUCCUCAUUUUUGAAUGUUUUGGGGCCGUAAAAUCGGAACUCCGGCCAAUACCUUAAUUUUCGUAUGUCAUAGCUCACGCCAUCCGCUUAGGUCCAGGAGCGCAUACCCGGAUCGCCUAAAAUGUCGGCCAUAAAAAAUAACCUAAGAAACAUUAAUCAUCACCUCACCAUGACUGUUCCUCGGUUUUUGGUAUUUUAGGGCCAUAAAACUAGAAUUUUGCCCGUCUCCAAGAUUUUUGUGUGCGCCCACGACAUCCGUAUGGGUCCGAUCGCCCGAACUCAUAUGGCCUAAAAUUUUGUCGGCCCUUUAAAAAAUGACCUAAGAAACAUUAAUCAUCGUCUCCUCAUCAUUGUUCAUCGUUUUUUGGUGUUUUAUGUCCGUGAAAUUAGAAUUUCAACCGAUUCCCAGAUUUUCGUGUGCUAUAGCCCACAUCAUCCGCAAAGGUUAGAGCGCCUGGACCCGGAUCGCCUAAAAAUUUUUCGGCCCAAAACAUAUGACCUAAGGAACAUUACUCAUCGCUUCGCCAUGACUGUUCCUCAUUUAUUGGUAUUAUAGGGCCAUAAAACUAGAAUUCCGUCCGUCUCCUAGAUUUUCUUGUGCGCCCCCAACAUGGGUUCGAUAACCUGAACUCGGAUAGCCCAAAAUUUUGUCGGCCCUUCAAAAAUGACCUAAGGAACAGUAUUCAUCGCCUCGCCAUGACCUUUCCUCUUGUUUUUGCGUUUAAGGGCCACAAAACUGAAAUUUUGCCCGAUUCCUAGAUUUUCAUGUGCAAUAGCCCACGCCAUCCGCAAGGGUCCUGCCGCCCGUACAUGGAUCGCCUAAAACUUUUCCAUCCCAUCAAAAAUGACCUACGGAACAUUAGUCAUCGUCUGGUCAUAACCAUUCCUCCUUUGUUUUACAUUUUAGGGAGACAAAUUCGAAAUUUCGCCAGAUUCCUAGAUUUUCGUGUGCGGUAGCCCACGCCAACUGCAUGGGUCCAGACACCCAGAUCAGGAUCGCCUCAAAUUUUGCCGGCCCAUAAAAAAUGACCUAAAGAACAUUAGUCAUCGCCUCGCAAUGACCAUUCCUCGUUUGUUUUGGUUUUAGGGCCAUAAACCUAGAAUUCCGCCUGAUUCUCAGAUUUUCAUGUGCUAUAGCCCACGCCAUGCGCAUGGGCCCUUUUGCCCAGAUUCGGAUCGGUUAAAAUUUUCCCGGCCAAUCAAAAACAAUCUAAGGAAAAUUAGUCAUCGGCUCUUCAUGAUCGUUCCUCGCUUUUUGACGUUUUAUGGCCGUAAAACUAGAAUUCUGUCGAUUCCCUAAUUUUCAUGUGUUAUAGCCUACGCCAUUUGCAUGGGUUCAGGCGUCCGGACCCGGAUCUCAUAAAAUUUUGUCGGCCCGUCAAAAACAACCUUAGAAGCAUCCUCGCCAUGACCUUUCCUCAUUUUUUGGCAUUUUAGGGCCAUAUAACUGGAAUUCCGUUCGAUUCCCAGAUUUUCGUGUGCUAUGGAUAGCCUAAAGUGUUUUCGAUCCAUUAAAAACGACCUAAGGAACAUUAAUCAUCGCCUAUUCAAGACCAUUUCUCAUGUUUUGGCAUUUUAGGAUAGUAAAACUGGAAUUCCUACCGAUUUCCAGAUUUUCGUAUGCUAUAGCCCAUACCAUACGCAUGGGUGCAGGCGUCGGACCCGGAUCACUUAAAAUUUUGCUGACCCAUAAAAAUGACCUAAGGAAUAUUAUUCAUCGCUUCGUCAUGAUCGUUCCUCACUUUUUGGCGGCCUAGGGCAGUAAAACGGGAAUUCUGCCCGAUUCUCAUAUUUUCGUGUGUUAUAGCACACGCCAUCUGCAUGGGUCUAGGCGCCGCGACUCGGAUCGCCUAAAAUUUAUUUGCCCAUAAAAACGACCAAAGAACUAUUAGUUAUCACCUCUCCAUGACCGUUCCUCAUUUUUUUGGCAUUUUACGGCCGUAAAAUUGGAAUUCUGUCUGAUUCCCACAUUUUUGUGUGCUAUAGCCCACGCCAUCAAGAUGGGUCAGGGCUCCCGGAACCAGAUCGCCUAAAAUUCUGUUGGCCCAUCAAAAACGAUCUAAGGAACACUAGUUAUCGCCUCGCCAUGAACAUUCCUCGUUUUUUGGCAUUUUAGGGCCUUAAAACUAGAAUUCCGCCCGAUUCUUAGAUUUUCGUUUGCUAUAGCCCACGCCAUCCGCAUUGGUCCAGGCGCCGGACACGGAUCGUCAAAAAUUUAGCCGGCCCAUCAAAAACGACCUAAGGAAUAUUUGUCAUCGUCUCGCCAUUACCUUUCUUCAUUUUUUGGUGUUUUAGCGCCAUAAAAUUUGAAUUCCACAUGAUUCCCAUAUUUUCGUGUGCUAUUGCCCACGGAUCAGGAUGGGUCUGGCCAAAGAUUGAUGACGUCCACAACACACCUCGAUAAGAGAUAUGAUACGAUCGUAUGCAAUAUAAAUUACCUAAAUAUGAGUCGAAGUCGAAUCCACUAGGGUUAUAAGGGGUGUUAGGAGUAUAUAUUUGAAGAAAGCGAAUGGAUUAACUAAAUUUGCACUUCCACAAAGAGUUUUGAUUUCUACUUCUACUAUUGCUUUAACACUUGCGAGCUAAGUAAAAUAAACUAGAAAUGAAUAUUUUUUGGUGUUUUUCCAAAUAGUUUAAAAGAUUAGGGAUGUGACUAUAACCUAGGUGUUCGCCUAAUGGGAUACAGACGUUAAUAAUUGUUUUGUUGAUUAGAGUGUAUUAUAGCUCUCAACUCUACAUUAUCCACUCAAUACCUCUCGGUCAGAGAGUGAUUUUGCCCAAUUUGACUCUCUCAAGCCCAAAUAGGUAUCAAACAAAAUAGUUGAUAUGAGCUCAAGUCGGGUUCUUAUUAUCUCUAGUUUGAACCCUUGAAUUAGGCUAAUCUAACUCUCAAUUAACCCAAUUUCUCAUUAGCCAAGUUAUCUCAGACUAGGUCCAUCUUUCUCAAGUAGAGACUAAGUUAAAAAGGCAUGAAUCAAUGUUUGCAACCAUUAAUUCUAAAAUUGAAGCACUAAACUAGGCUAAAUAAUCAACACCCAAUCAUAAACAAGCAUUAAAUUAAAUACCCAUAAGGUUUCGCACUAGGGUUAGGCAACCCUAGUAAAAAUCUAGCUACUCAUAAUGGGUAUUGAAGAAAAUAGAGAAGAAAUGCAAAUAAAACCCAUAAUAAAAGAUUAAAUUGAUGAAGUAUAAUGUUUAAACACUAAAAUAAUCAAAAACAUCCUAAAAGGUAACGGCUACAGCAGCUUUAAACUUUCAAAGUUGACAUAAAAUUGUGAAACUCGUCUAUUUAUAGUGGGCCAAAUAUCGCUGACAAAAAUGCCCCUCAUGAGGUUCUGCGGCAGUAUAAUUCCAUGUGCGGUCCGCAAAUUUCUUCAUCUGGCAGGAGAGUGGGUUUUGCAGCCACAUAUAUCUGGAUUGCGGCUGGAAAGCAACUUCUGCGCCCGCGCCAUUCUUGUGCGGUCCGCACUUCAGCAACGUGUCAAGACUUGGUCUUUUUGCAUAUUCUCUCAACUUUGAAUUUUUUUGUCAGUGAAAGCCCUAUUCUGCGGCCGCACAAUUCAUGAUCGGUCCGUACAUUGGUCAAAAUCAUGUUGGGUUUUGUUGCUUGGUUUGCGGCCACAGAUGAAAUUCUGUGGUCCGCAAUUUCUUCUGUGGACCGCACUUUUUUGCCUUUACGCCCUUUAAUGCCUUGUGCUUCGGAACACUCCUUUUUUAGUUGGAUUUCAUCAUGGUAGACUGAACUUCCAACAUUCCUGCAAUUUUUACAAUUUUAUUAGUUUCGGGAACGUAAAUCAAUACUUUCGGACUAAAACAAAAGCAAAAAACGUGCUAAUAAGUAGUCAAAAUCUCCACUUAUCAAAGCCCGAACAGAGAUCACCUAAAAUUUUGUCGGUCCAUCAAAAACGAUCUAAGAAACAUUAGCCAUCGCCUCUCCAUGAACAUUCCUUGUUUUUUGGCAUUUUAGGGCCAUAAAACUGGAAUGCCGCCUGAAUCCUAGAUUUUCGUUUGCUAUAACCCACGUCAUCCGCAUGGGUCCGGGCGCCCUGACCCGUAUCACUGAUGGUAGGCUAUAAUCUCAUAUUUUAGUUGAUUAUUGCACUCGAAUUCACUGCACUUUAUUUGUGUUUGAGCUUUAAUGUAUUGUUUUGCACAUAAUGUGUAUUUUAUGCCUUGUAGGAGCGAUUCCGAGUUAUGUAGAUAUUGUGGAGCUAAUUCGAGCUAUUUUGAUCUUUGAAGUUUGAGUAAAAUCCCAAGGGGUUAAGUCGGGAUCGUGUUCGGGGAUUAAUGGACGAAUAAUGCACUUAGUGGAAGGAAAAAGAGUUUAGAAUAAUGCACUUGGGCGCGCAAGUGAUGCAGUGUACUGCUAGAGGUGCGCGGCCAUGUACGCUACCGGGAACUUUACCCAAGCCUAUUUUUGUAAUUUCGGAGGUGACUCUUUUUGACCUAUAUGAAGCCUAACUCGUCUCAAAAUAAGGUAUCUCAGAUUUUGGAGCAACUUUUGGAGAGAAGAAGGCAAGAAAACAACGGAGACUCAAAAUACUUCAUCCAAUUCAUUCAAUACGGAAGUUUGGUUGAUUUUGGGAAUUGUAAUGUCUUCUUAUUCUUCUAAUACUCUUGUGAUAAAUAACUUCUCCACUAUGGAGUAAUCUUUCUUAGAGUUAUUGACAGAUAUUGUGAUUUGACUAUUGUUUAGGGUUUACUCUAUGUUAGUUGCCUAAAUUCGUUGAAUGAGUUAUUAAUUGAAUGGCAAGGCCAAUAUUGGUUUUACUUUAAUCGAAAGAGAAGUGUUGCUGUAAUUCGCAUCGUGUUAUCUCGUUUGGGUUGAUUUUACACCUCCCAUAGGUAACCGAAAGAUCUUAGAGAGUCAUCAAUUGACCCAAUUUGGAAGAAUAGUCGAGAGACGUUCUUCGAAAGAUCAUUCAUUCAUUGUAUUUUUGUAUGUGUUCAUAGGACCUGUCAUUACUUGGUUAACGGAACUCUCAUUCAUUCGGAAGAAGAAUUUGAAUCCUCAAGAUAGCCUAAUCAUCUGUUAAAAUCGAAAGAGUCAAAAGAAGUUAAGACUGAACUUAGCACGGAGUUACCUAGAAUAAUAAUUGAUCACAUAUCUUGUCGCAUCCCUUACUUCACACCUUGAUAUUCAAUUGUUGCUACUUAGUCACUAAAUUUCUAUUCAUUUCUCACAAUCAAUAAUCUAAGUUUUUAUUAUUAGUCGGUAACACUUAAAUCAAAAGUUUAUUUUCCUGGAUAGUGUUAAGCUGAAGAUUUAUUAGAACAUUAUUUAAACCAAUCCCUGUGGAGACGAUCUAAUAAUGUACUAUCUUUGACUAGCGAGCCUAAGUGUUAUACACCGAUUUUGUGUUCGUCAAUCACCUAAAAUUUUGUCGGCCCAUAAAAAAUAACAUAAUAAAUUCAUGUAGAGGAUUCGGGGCCUGUCGCACGAAUUCAUGUAGAUGGCGUGGACUAUAGCACAAGAAAAUUUGGGAAUCGUCCUUAUUUCCUAUUUUAAGUCGUUUCUGAUGGGCCCACAAAAUUUUAGGCGAUUCGUAGUUUGUCGCCCGAAUUCAUGAAGGUAGCAUGGACAUUAGCACAUGUAAAACUGAAAAUCGUCCUGAAUUCCUAUUUUAUGGCCCUAAAACGUCAAAAACGAGGAACAGUCAUGGUGAAGUUAUUACUACUGUUAAUUAGGUCGUUUCUGAUGGGCCCACAAAAUUUUAGGCAAUUCGAAGCUCAUCGCCCGAAUUCAUGACAUGCGUGUUAAGGGUUUAGCUCGAGGAAUGUUUUUCCAAUAACAAUAUGUUCCCUUCAAUAUUUUAUAUGUUAUUUCAAAUCGAAAAAGUUUGUGACCUAUAGUACACUUUAGUUAAUUCGGUUUAAAUUUUUAGCUAUGUAAAUUUUAUUUUAAUAUUUUAAAGAUUUAACGUACUUCCAAGUUUAAAAUUCAAAAUGCUACUUGCAAAUUGUAAUGUUUUGAAAUUUGAAAGUUAAUACUGAAUUUUGUUUUCAAAUUCUCGUCUCUAGGUCCAACACUUUUCUUUUUGUAUUAAAAUAAAGGAAAUCUCACGAAAAUGUCCCAAAUAAGUUCCAAUUUACCAACCUUUAGUCAUUACCAAAACUAGUCAAACACAUAUAAAAAUUUAAAAUCCUUCUUCCUUUCCAAGAAUCACACGCAAAGAUCUCCUUGCAUAUUUUGAGCAUGAUCAGCAACAUUAGAUGCAAGAUGGAAAGAAAAUUACAUAGAUGAGGUAGCAAACAAGAUGAUGAAAUACAAAAAAAUAUAUAUACAAGAUUCCAAAAAUUUAAGCAAAAAAGGACCUUUUUUUAAUGGGUAUGGUUGAAAUUCAUUGAAAACAUAUAGAUGAGUCAAUAUACAAAUUUUGAGGAAGACUGGAGGUGAUUUCGACUGAUUUGGUAUCAAAAUUCGUAGUUAAAUCAAGUUCAAAAAAAAUUUCCGCGACACAUGUAUCACCCAUAUAUAUACACAUAGAUAUACAUGGAUAUACAUGUGAUACAUAUUUGAUACAUAUGUGAUACACAAAUGAUACACAGUAUGAUACACAUAUCAUUUUUUUCCAUGUUUCAUCUUCUACUUUGAAUUUUCAAUUCAAACCACCUCAAAACUCCGCCAAAUCAUCUCAAAACUGAGAUUCAAACACCUUAAGAUGUACCCAAUCUAUUCUAAUAACACGCUAAGAAAGCAAAAAAUGGAUAUAUUUUUUAUUACAAAUAGCUAAUUGGCUAAUAUUAGUAAUACAAAUAGCUAAUUGGCUAGUAGUUUCCCUAAAAUAAAAUAGUUAUAGAACAAAUAAAACCCAGCCCAACUAAACCUGAACUUGGCCCGACCCAACAAAUUUACUAAAGGGCAAAUAUCACUUAUAACCCGUGGCCGAAACUAUUUACAUCAGAUAGCUGCAAAAGUAUAUAAACUUUAUAUAUUUUUUUGUAUAUAAUAUGCAUAAAUGUAAAUAUAUACAAAAGAAUUUAUAUUUUUUUGGCUACUAUCUAUACAAUAUCAUUUUCCCUUUCACUUGGUCAUGAGUGUGUCAAGCAACUCAAAUGUCAAAGUGGCCUAACUCCGAACUGGGCUCCUUAAGCUGAGUCCGCUCCGACUUGUCCAUAGAACCCAUGGGCUGAAGACGGGCUGGGAUCUAAGUUCUCACCCAGCCCAACCUAAUUGACAAGUCGAGUUCAGUGUGCUGGGUUGCUUUAUUAAAAUUGUUGAAGAGUUGUCCCUUUGUGGUUAGGCCAUUUCAACAAUCCUUAUUGAUAAUUGUGGUUUCCCGAUUAGCUUACGCACACCUAGAUUAAUUUUACGAGUUACCUAUUACCUCUCAUUAAUACAAGUACGAGGUAACUCAGUCCAGUAAGACCUCAAAAUAUAAAAAUAAAUCACCUAUUUUUUUUGCCUUGGUUAAAAUUUGAACCCAACUCUCAACCCACUUCAUAGGCCACUAAGCUAUAACCCUGGUUGACAGGUCAUUUCAGUAAUCUGCAACAAACAAAUUGUAAAGAGAAAACACUCCACUAAAGUACUAUACGUCCUUUGGACAAAAUUUUCAGACAUUGAUGGAAAUCAAACUUUAUACAUGAAAUUCAGCCGAGUUAAAUCAUUUGCUUUGAUAUUUUAUACAAACACAAAUAAAAAACUAGAAAUGUAAUGAAAUUUCACUUGAAAAGAAUAUCAUCAAUUUAUAAGAAGAAAGACAAGGGGAAAUUAAAGAUGGGGAAGGACCAAAAUAGACUAGUAAACAUUAGAAACCUAUAUGGUUUCAAUUAUAAGUUCUCUUAGACUAGUUUGAACCUACAACAUAUCUCGCUACUUUUCCUUUUCAUAGAGCUUAUAUUAGAUACCUUAUAACUAUCUACAGACUGAAGCUCAGAGCUUGAACUUUCCCAUAGGAGGAACAUCACCUCUCAUUACUCUCCAAGGGCCGCCAUAAAACAUUGGUUUCAUUAGAGGCACUUCUUGCCCAGGGUGUUCUUCCCAGUAUUUUUCCUGUCAUUGUGGGAAAAGAAGCUAUUAUAUCAAGGCACGAAUUUGAACUAAUAGUAAACUAAAGGCUGAAAAGGAAAAUCUGAUUCUUAAUAUACGAGGGAAAGUCGUCUACUCUGAACAAAUAAGUACUACAUAGCUCGUAUUAUACAGAACACGAGUAGGCUACUUAUCUUCUCUCAAGGCAAUGACCUACACAAAACAUUUUUAGAAAAGGUUAUGGCUAGAGGAAAAAUAACUUGUUCCGAAAAGCAGAUACAUACUGAAAAAAUAAGAAUUAGAUCUAGGAGAAGGAAAGAAAUACAGCAAUUUGACUAGACAAGACAAAUUCAGAUGAUUCUCCUACCUUGAAUGAAUAAAUCCUUUCAGAUAGCGAGGUCAAACUAUAUGCUGGUUCCAACCCAUUGUACACAUAGGUUAAACAGUUGAGUGGCUAACUUGAUUUGCACAUUGAAAAUACUAAACUAAUAACUGAAGCUUGUUCAGUGAUGAGUUCUUACACAUCAAACUCCUAACUUUUGUUCCUAACUCACUUUUAUGGGAAGUGCAAAUUCAAAUAAUGAAGUUCCACACAUCAUUUACUAAUAAGAAAAAGGAGUUCCACCUGUGGGAAGUUAAUUUUUUUUUAUCAGAAAAGGAGUUCCACUCACUAUUCAGAAGUUUCAAGUAAAUAUGAUUAAUCAUUUUAGUUUGUACUUUCUGCCAGCGACCCUCUCCUAAACAAAGUAGUAAGGUGAAGUAAGUCAGCGUGAUCAGUUUAAGAAAAUUAUAUGCAUUCCCAGUCAAUACUGGGGAGUUCAUACCCUGCCAAUGCCACUCCAACAAUGGUGCUCUUAACUUCCAAAACUAACUUCACAAAGGUCCAAUUUCAAAUCUGUCAAAAGGAAUUUCCAAGCAUUUAAUGCUACGAAAUUAAGGAUCUAAAGAUAUUAUACCUUGUAGAGUUGCUCGGUGAUGGCUGCCCCAAUAACCCCAGUAUAAAAUGCACAAACAUAGAUUGUGACAAGAGGCGUAAACGAUUUUGGUCUCCUAAAUGGUUCUACCAUAUCCCAUAGAAUUGUCUUCUCCCACUUUGUGUACACAUAAUCUGCAUAUUUCCUCCACAUAUAGGUUGCCAUUUCCACGAUAUCCUUUAAUUAUCAGCUGAACUGCACAAACGAAAUAUCUGGUUAAUUGGAAGAUGUAGAUGUCCACAUGCAGAAAGCAGUAAGACAAUUUAUUAGGGAUACUUUUGUUUAAUGCAGGACGUAUCAACUUUAGAUAGCCCAUAUUACUGUAAAUUUAUUGGCAUAAAAGCAGUCUUACAAAUCAUUCUAGAAAAACAUAAUAUCAAUAUGGAUGAAGACUAUAAUAAAAGAAUCAAUAUUAACAGGCGGAAAAUUUGCAAGAGAAAAGAAGAGUAACAUUUUUGGUAACAUUAGGGAGAUCUGUUAAGGAGGACAGAGUAUUCUUGCUGUUUAACUAUCUCUAUGUUAUCAUCAGCAACCUACAAGGUGAGAAUCUAAUGUCUGGUUAUUUUCUACACUAAUGAUCACUAUAGACUAUGUUAUUCGGAUCCUCCUAAAAUCCACCACACCUGUGUCGAAUCCUCCACUAUACUUUACAUAUAAGUUCUUUUAGCUUUCAUAUUUUCAAUUGCAUUACAAACUAACUUCACUAAGAAAAAAAUGGAUUUCAGUAAUUUAACCCUAAUUUUUAUAAUUAGCUAAAAGUUAAUCAAAUUUUUGGUCUUCUAUACAGGAAAUAGAAAUCCAGUACUAGCAAGAAAAACCACAGUAACACAUUAAACUAUAAUUAGAGAUCAGUUCAAUUUCAAAUCAACACACAAUCAGCUCUCAAAAUAGGGAAAAACACAGCAAAAAAAUUAAUCAGUUAACAAGUAAUUAAGGCGUGCACCCACUGCCUCCAGUGGCACAAAUACUCAUCAAAUUAACACACCAUCACAACUAUAGCAAAUUAUAGUAACUCAAAAAUAACUGAUAUUGAAGCUGAGAGUUUGUUUAAGAAAUGAAUCAAACACAGCAAAACUCGCCAUAAUUUGUAUUAUACCAUUCAAAAUCAUAGCCAAAUGCAAAAGAUAAUAAGCUAAUUAGAUAUCGAGAGAGAAAAAUACCUAGAGAGAGAGAGAGGAACGGACGAAGAUAAAUUUUGAUUUUAAAUUUGAUUCCGUCGCGAGGAACUCUGAAGAAUUGACGAGUUUGCUGCAAAAUUAGAGCAAGUUAGUGAUGUUGGCAAGAAGUUUAGGCCCACUAGAAGAUUUGGGCUGGUCCAAGUUCAUUCGAAUGGGUCCAAAUAACGCUGGAUGGACCUUUUUUAAAGGGCAUAUUAUACAUAAGGCCGGUCGACCAGAAAUAAUUACAUUUGCUAGCUGAUAUAUAGAAAAUAUACACAGAUUAUGUGUAAAAUAUGUAUAUAUUUUUUAUAUUAUAUAUUAAUAUAAAAAAUAUAUUUAGACAACUAUUAUUUUUUAUAGCGGCUAUACAUUGUAAUUUUUUUCUUUUUUAACAACUAUUUAUAUUUUAACCCAAUUAAGAAAUAUUUUGGGAAAAUAGCCUCGCACCACAUUUUUAAAGCAUGACAAGCAGGAUUUUGCUCGAUCGCCACAAUUUUAAAGUAAGCUGGGAAGAAUUUUAAAGCAACCAGCAGUCCAUCACAAGAAUUUCAACCAUAAAGCUCCAGUGAUAGUUAGAACUUUGUGGCAAAAUUCUGACGAUCACCAUAUUUGCUCUCUGUUUUAAGAUUAUGCCCAAUGAGACAAUCGAAUAAAAUCCUGCCCAGCAUGUUUUAAAAUUUUGGCAUGGGCUUUUAUCCUAAAAAUUUUAUUAUCGAAGUCAAAAGAUCAAUAGUGACACAAAAAUAUCUUAUUUGUGUUGUUAUUCUCCUUUCCUUUUCUUUCACAGUAACAUAAAGGGAUCUAAAUGACAUCAAACUAUAUUUGUACAAAAAGUUGCAUAUCUUAUUAUUAUAAAUAUCAAAACAUAAAGAAUGGCUACUUUUUCUCUCGAUCAACUAGUAGAGUUUCAUGAAUAAAGGAGGCUCAAAACAAUGGGGAGUGAUCUUUUCGGAUUGGUCCGACUCCCGGUAAAGUAAAUGUCACACUCCAAUAAUCUUCGUUUCCCCAAAGGAUAUGACGUAUCUGGAUUACAAAUAAAUAUUCAAUUUCUGGUUUUAAUUUGGGCAUACAAAUUUAGGAAGCGUACUUUUCAAACAUAUGCGUUAGAAUUUUAAACAAUUAAAAAAUUUAAGAUCUUGGUCAAGAAUAAAUUUUUUUGACUCUUCAAAUUGUAAGUUCUGUAGUUUGGAUGGAGCUUUAAUUUUUUUGCACUUGUAGAAGAUUGCGUUCUAAUUCUUUUUAGAAUAUGGAGAGAAGAAGGGGUAAUCUUAAGCAAAUGUGGUGAUAAUUAGGCAGAUGUAAUGUAUAUACAUCAGUUACGGAUUCAUCCGACCCAAUAAUUAUGGUUAAAACCUUGUAAAUACGUUGAAAAAUUCACUAAAAAGUACAAACAAUAGAUUUCAAAUAUAGAAAAUCGACUGAGUUGUGGUAGAGAAUUCUGAACUCCAACUCAUAAUGUUCAAAUGCUAGAUUUGUGUAUAUUAUAUGUAUAAGAUAGGUCUUUAUAUACCUUACCUCUGCAUUUAUGGUGUUUAGAAUAUUACACAAUGUGGUCACUUAGAAAGUAAUUAUAAACUUCUUAUUUUUUCACACUAAAGUAAAUUAUCUACAUCCUUUUUGGAUUAUCAAUUCUCUUUCUACAAAUAAUCAGUUAUAAUUUCUUCUGUUAUAGGCUAUUAAUUCCCGAAUCUUUAAAAUAGCUAUCAAAUCUAAUCUGUGAAAACUACCUACAAAUAGGUAAUAAAUACACAAUUGCAUCGCAUAAUCUAUAUAUUAUUAAAAGAAGAAAAAAAAACCUCCACAUUAAGCCAAGUAAUAAUCUCACAAUAGGUCACUUGGCAAUUUAGGACAAAGUUAAUUAGGUUAAGUAAUAAUUAGUUUUUUUUUAAUUUAAAUUUUUUUAAAAAAUUAUUAUGCAUUACGUGUUGUUAAUAAUUAGUUACUCUUGUUGAAUUUGAAUUUAAACAUACUUAACUAUUUUUUUGCGAAAAUAAUAUUUUUUUAUAUAUUUAGAAUUAUUUCUAUUUUACACUUGAUGUCAUCUUUCAAGUUUGACACUCAUAAUCAUCUUGUUACAACUACCAUGGCAAUACAUAAUUUCAUCCGACGACAUUCUUCUACCGAUAAAGAAUUCAAUUAUUAUGCUAAUGAAGACAUUACUGUAAAGAUUGAGAAAGGAGAUGGGUCUUCUGGUGUACCUUUAGACAUGCAAGGCAACUCUUCUGCUAAUAUGGAGGCGUUGUGUGAUAGAAUUAGAGAUGAAAUUGUUGAGAAACAUUAUCAUGUGUGGGUGACUUUGCUUAUUCAUGGUGGAUUAUCAAUACAUAGUAAUUUGUAGAAUAGACUUCUAAUUCAUACUGAAUGAUGACAAUAAGUAAUUAUACUAGAUAAUAUUAUAUGCUUUGUUAUAACUAUAUAUGUUAUCUUGAUUAAAAUCUUUAAUAUGUAUGUUUACUUUAUGUUUUAUAUUUUAAUUAAAUAAAAUAAAAAAAUAAUAAAAGUCUCUUACCAUAAAUAUUUAAGUUCAUUUUUCUCUUUAAAAUAUUAAUAAGACCUUGGUACUAUCCUUUUGGUAAAAGCACUUUUUAGAAAGAUUGGCCAAACACAAUUUGUUUACCAAAUAUUGCAAAAAGUACUUCUUAAAUGAAUUGGCAAAACACAAACUAUUUUUUUCAAAAGUACUUUUGAAAAAUGCACAUCUGAAAAAAAAAAUACUUUUCAAAAUAAGCAAUUUUUGGCAGCUUGGCCAAACGGGCUGUAAAUUAUAGAGAAAAUUACCUUCAUUGUCAGUUGACCCAACAUACCAACAAAAUUAGGCCCAUAUUUUAGGUCCUUACCCGAUUUAACCCAGUUUGUACAUAAAUUGUAAAAUAGUUUUCAUCGGUUAGCCCAAAGCACUUAAAAGGUUUUUUCUUUCUUUUUUUCUUCAUUCCCAACGCACCCAAUUCUCUCCCUACCACCUCUCUUUUCUUUCUUUCUAACCCAAACAGAUCCAAUCAUCCUCUCUUACCCUAGCCUCCAUUAUUCCUCCUCUAAACAAUUCUGGCUCAGGCUCCUCCUCUGUCGUCCAAGCCCACAAAAUCUGAUGGCGGCAAGCAGAAGAAGAAUUUAAGAUUUUGAAAGAAAAAUGAAAACCCAUGCAUAUCUGAAAUCUUUAGCUCUCAAACAUGAUUAACGUCGAGAAAUAACCAAUAAUUUUGGAAGAGUUUGAAGUUUGAAAUUCGGAACAAUAUUGUUACAACCGUGAAGUCUCGGAUCUGAAACCGGAUGUAUCUUGUCUGGGUAUUAAAUUCGGAAUCGUUCGCAUAAAGUUAUAAUACCUGCUGCUACAACUCGAAGUUGGAAUAAAAAAUCAUAACCAUGUAGCAGUUUGUAUCAACACUGUAUAAUUAUGUAUAUGAAUGUAUAAAUACCUCUUAUACAUUAUUUUUUGAUAAGGUAUACAAGUUGAUAUAUUGUUUACAGUUAAUGUAGUGUUGGACAUAAUGUGUUUUCUAGUGAAAAUAUUGUAUAACUAGUGUUUAUAUAUAGUUAUAUAGUGUUGUAUACUUAUGUAUAACUGUGUAUAAAUGUGUGUAUUUAUGUAUAAUGUUGUAUAAUUAUAUGUUUUUAGUUUAUAAGAAUCUAGAUACAAUGUCUGUGCAUAAGAGGCCUCCAUGGAAGUUUGACACUUUCUUCUCUUCUUUUUUUGUAAUGGGCAAUAUGAAAAAGUUUUUAUAUGUGCUAGAGGGAUUAUACAAUUCUUUUACCAAGUUUUGAUUUUUCGUUUAUCGUGUUCGAUUGCUUCAGCAAUUGCACAUAAAAUUUCACUUUUAAUCUAAAAUUUGACUAACAAUUUUAAUAUGUGAAAACCCAAAUGUUUCACCACUUAAAAGAGUACUAGAAGAUUGGAAUAUUUUAUUGAAAAAUCAUGUUUUGCCAUAAGAAAAAGAGAAAAUAGGAGAAAUGUUUAUUUUAAUACAUAAUGUGUUGGUAUUUAAGUUGUGGAAGAAAAAGAAACAAAGACAUGGACAAAAGUUUUGCGGGGGAAUUCGGGAGAUGUGGGGGGGGGGGGGUGUAACCUUGAGAAAUUGUAAAAAUAAAAUUAAAAAAAUCUUGCCAUACCAUGUGAAUGAUAUCAUAUUACUAGAAAAAGAACUGAUUGUUAACAUUUAUUGGGCCAUUGUCACACCUCCUUUUCACCGAGGGAUAGGGAAUAGGAAGCUUUUUCAAUUAAAGUGACAUUAUUCAAAAUGGGAUUAUUUAUUUAUUUAGAGUUGCCACUUGGAAUAAUUUAUGGUGUCCCAAGUCACCAGUUUAUUUUAGAAUCCCAAAUCAAGGAAAAUGACUAUUUUUGGUCUGCGAACACAGAAGAUCGGGUAAGGAAUUUUGUUAACCCGGGAGAAGGUGUUAGGCAUUCCCGAAUUUCGUGGUUUUAGCACGAUCGCUCAACUAUUAAUAAUUGACUUAAUUAUCUGAUUAAUUACAUGUUUGAAACCUAUUGUGCAUUUUGAACUUUCUAACCGCUUUUCAUUAUUUCUAUCGCUUUUGGUAUUUAUGGAAUUUAUUUGAAUAAGUCCCGAUGUCGCGCACUUAUUGUUUUUUUGAACACUUUGUGAAUCGCGUCACGUGAAACGCACCCGCGAUUUACAACAUGUUUAUUAUUAUUAUUUGAAGUUAUGGUCGAGUUACGUGAAAGGCACACUCGAAUUGGGGUUUACGUAUCGUAAUUAAGCCUCGGGAACCGUAGCCAUAGUCACGACGUUUAUUAUUAAUCGCGCCUAAAGCUCACUACGAAUAUUUUUAAAUUAUUUAUUUUCCUAAGAUUUGAGAUCCAUGUGAGGCCAUGAAUUAUGGAUAUGAGUGUGAGGCAGUAUGGAUUGGAUCGUUAAUUUGUUCAUAAGAUGGAUUGCAUUAUGUCUUGGUUCAAGGCUAAUAUUCUAUCUUUACAAUAUCUAAGAAGUAGCGAAUUAAAACUAAUCUGAAAUUUGCCUCAAGUUAAGAUCAGGCCAUUGGCUUUUAAACUAAAAAAAAUUUCUGCCGAAGCUAAAUGAAAUGGAUUGUAUGGAACAACAAAACCAAUUAUGGAAUCAAAUGCUGGAACUAGUAAACUAUAACCCAUUUAAUUACAUAACUGAAAAAUCACUGAUUUACCUUACUUAUGGAUUUAUAUCCUACUACAAUAGCAUUCAGGAUCUAAAGCUACAACAGUAAUCAAUUCAUAGUAAAUAGAGCCGAUAUAUGUAAUGAAAAUAUGCUGCUAGUUUUCACAAUAACUCACCACGAAACUAAUUCACUGCUUAUUCUAGCUUUUAUUCAAAGUUAGUAACUUAAAUUCAUGUUCAUGAUGCAUUGACAUUUUUAUCCUCAAGGAAUGAACAUUUCAGUAACAAACAAUCCAAUUCAAAACUCUUGCGAAUUCACUAAGUGCUCAAUUAACAGUACAGUUGCCAAACAUGAUGAUAUUCAGCCACUAACAUGCUGAGUUUAGACCAAAACAGUAGUAGCGAAAGCCAAAAUUAUCAACAGAUAGAAACAAACAGGCAGAUCUGGUAGUCAAAGCAUCCGGAUUCCACAAGAUUUAGCACGUUCAUAGAAUUAGCACUCAAAUAUUCAUUCAUAGUCAAAUAAGAGGACAAUAAGAAUAGGCAGACGCACCUAACAAUUACAGAACAGCAGUAGACGGCCAAAUAAAAGUCUAAAAUGAGGAAUGGAGCUCAGCUACUCAACAAUCGCAACAGCAGCAAUGAACAGCCCCUUAAGAACUCGAUUUGACCUUGAAAACCGACUGAAUUCGUCCAAACAAAUCGGCAGAGAAUGAAUUUUUUUCACAACACCUGGUUUUUUCAAAUCUUUUUCUUUUUUUGAGAAGCUCAUUUGAGGAGGGAGGCGGAAGUGAGCGGCUGCUCGAGAGAGAAGAAGAAGAAGAGGAGGAGGAGGGAGGCGGCUAAGGUUUUUGUUCCAUGGGAGGGUCUAUGAAUGUAUAUGAGUGUGAGGGUUUUAGGCAGAUGGGCUUGGGCUAGCGGAUGGGUUUGGGGCGAGAAUUGGGCCUCUUAUCACUGGCCCAUUUGAAAACAAAGUAAAUAGCCUCUUUCUUUCCUAGUCUAAAUAAUUUCUAAAUUGACCAAUCUAAUUCUAACUAAAGCUAACUUUGCAAAAUUAACCUAAUUAUCCAUUUUUCUAACAAUUAACUAAAUUAUUUAACUAAUAAUGCAUGUAAAGUGGCUAAUAUAUUUUUGGUAUUUUAAUGUUUUACAAAUACAAUUAAUUAUGCAACUAAAAUCUAAAAAUAUAAAGAUUACAAUAUUUUUGUUAUUUUUUAAGAUUUAAAAUGCUACUAAAAUGCACCAAACACAAAUACGCACAAAACAAAUUAAGUAAAAUAUAGAAAAAUUCCUAAAAUUUUAUAAAAUAAUUAAAAGCUAUUUUUUGAGAUUUUUAGGAGUAAUUUCAUAUAUUAGGCAAAAAUUACGUGCUCACAAACAUCCGAUAAAGAUAUUGUUUUGGGCUAAGCGGUUGAAAUGCAUUUUGUUCAGUUGUACUUUUAUGAAAUUCUCCCUAAAUUAUAUCUAACUUGCUAUUGCAGGUUAAAAUUCAUUGAUAAUGUCAAAAAAAAAAAUUACACCAUUAAUAUAAUAUAUACAAUUUAAGGUGUUAUGAAAUUACUAAUACUGGUAAAUAGCUAAUGUAUCAUGUCAUCUUUUCGUGUUGACUCUAAUAGAACCAGAUGAAAUGAAAGAACACAAAAGCCUCCUAAUUUACUGCAAAAAGUAAGAAGGAAAAUUCAGGCGUACGUGUUUGUAACAUUUCGUUAACGUUCAAACUUUUUUUUUGUUUUCUAUUGUUGUGGGUUGUACGGGACCGUGGGAUGAGGUUGAGAUGACACUGAAAAAAUAAGAAAUUCUAAUAAGUUUUUCUAUCUCUUUUCGUUUUCUCUUAUUUUCGUAUAAAAGUACAUACCACUUUCUACUUCGGUUCAAAGACGGGUUCAGGAUUUUGAGUUAAUUAAUAAGUUCUAGAUUCCAAAACAUAUAGCUUGUUGGUCCAGGAUAAUUUAUUUUUACAUGUUAAUUUGAUUUACUAACACAAAUAUACAAGGGAUAGGCUAAAGUUAUUGAGUUUUGUUGAAUUCGUAUGUAAAACUGAAGCUCGCUUUUAUUUUCAUAUAAAUGUAAGUACUGCUUUCUACUGCAAUUCAAGGACGGCUUCAAGGUUUUGAGUUUUAUGAUUUUAUAUUCUAAAACAUUCAUCUUAUUGGGUCCAGGAUAAUUUAUUUUUACAUACUAAGUUGAUUUUUUAAUACAAAUAUAUAACGUAUGUGUCACUGCCGUAUGUAAAAUUGUAGUUCCCCUUAUUUUAACUUCUUAUAAAGGUACAUAUUACCUUCUAUUUCAGUUCAAAGAUUGGAUUUUGGAUUUUAAGUUAAUGAGUUCUAGAUUCUUAAAUAUACAACUUAUUGGGUCCAGGAUAAUUUAUUUUUACAUGUUAAGUUGAUUGUCUAAUACAAAUAUACAUUGUAUGAGCUAAAGUUAUCGAAUUCUGCAUAAUCCGUAUAUAAAACUGUAGCUCCCCUGAGUCCGCAAACGACUUCUGCGAACAUCAAGAGCUACUGUUUAUAAUGAAACAUCAGAAUAAUGAUUCAUAGAUAUGAGCCAUUCAUGCCAGCCGCGCACAGUGUAAGUGUCACUUUAUAUUUCUGUUAAAAGCAUAAUUUGUUUUCUUUUGUGAAGCUGGUCCCAAACCCUAAUACUCUCUUUGCGUACCCAACCUAAACAUCCACAUAUUUUUGUCAAGUUGAUCAUUGUACUGACUGAUAUUUUACUGAAAAAAGAAACUUAUUACUCUUCACCAUGUUAUUUGAGUACAUAGAGCUCCUGAAUUCAAGUUUUUACUGUCACACGUUAUUAAAAAGAAUUUUCGUGUACUUGACUCAUAAAAUUAAAAUAGGACUGCCCGUAAAGAGGAAUAUUGAAAAUAUAAUUUAAGUAAAUGUUAAGAUUUUAUAUGUAAUUGUCACCCUAGUUAAUUAACAGAAUUCACUUCUUUCAUGCGUUUUAUAAAAUAAGAAAAGGUAAAAAGAAUUGUUCUGUAUAAUAUCUAAUAAACUAGUGUUUUUCCUAAGCCGAAAGUCUAUUGAGAACAGUCUUUAUACUACGUAUACACUACAUUCCACAGACCUCCACUUAUGAAAUUAUUCUAGGUCUGGUAUUAAUUAUUGUUGUUGUUGUAAUAUCUAUGAACUAGUAUAUAAAAGAAAUAGAAGAAUUAACCUAAAAUGCCGUUUACCCAACCUCUUUAACUAAAAAUAGCCGAUUGAUCCAUAAUAUUAUGUAUAAUAUGUGUAUAAUCUAUGUAUACAUGUCAGAAAAUACGUAAACGUUUAAUCCGACCGAAUAUUUCUGUAAAUAUCCCUAAAGAAAAUAAUAUUUACGGUUUUGGAGAGAAUAUUCAUCAAUAAACUUGAAAAUCAUCACACAAGCAGAUAGAUGAACAAGUGAUAAAUGUUCUUGUUAUCAUCUUGCUCAAAAACUAUCAUUAUAAGCUUACAAAGAUCACCACCACACAAGAUCAAACUUACUACUACUAGUACUACUUAAUUUCUUAUUAAAAUUUUCGUACGUAGCUUGACUUACAUGCUACAACUGAUCUCACUCUCACUAAUAUUAUUCUAGCUAUCAUUAUGAUCUCAAACUCAAUUUCACACUACUAAUUUAGUGCUAAUCCCUUUAAUUAACUCAAGAAAUUUAAAUAUUACUCAACCAUGAACAAGGCCACUAGAUAGUGCCAUUAGCAAAAUUGCAGCUUCCUUCUCAUCCUGUGGAAAAACGCGAUGUAACGCCAAAUUGUUGCUCAAGUUGACGAAGAAAUCCUCGAAACAAAUCUUCUUUUGUGCAUUAUUAAUAGUAGAUGAAGAUGAUCCAACAGCAGCAGCAGUAGUAGAUGUUAUGAAUUUGCACCUUUUCUUGAAGGGUACAACAUGAUUGUUAUUCACUUUUGUAGUUAUCUUCUGUUUCUGUUGCACUUUUAUCUUCAUUGCUGUUGCUGUUGCUGUUGUUGUUGUUGAUGUUUCAGUCGUGAAAUUUGUCCCAUUUGCUGCAGCUGCUGCUGCUGCCAUGGCUCUCCUUGCUUUCCUUUGUCGAAUUCCACAUGCGUUACAAAGUGACUGUACCAUUUAAAGAAAUAUAUACACAAUCAGAUCAUAUAAAAUUUUUUGACAAGUAUUAACUGGACGCCUGAUAAAUGGUAACUAACUACUAACACAGAUAAAAUUACAUUGAUAGUAUAAAAAAGGAAAAAAUGAUACUGUGCAACCGCUCUCAAAGUAAUAGCCGAAAAAUAUUACUUAUUAGAUCUCAUGUGAAUUGCGGAAAGCUCUUUUGUGGAUUAUUAUUGUUCACUCCUGCAAUUUGAUAACUAUCCUUAUGCAAGAGUAAAAAAUAAUAUUAAUACACAAAAGAGUUAUCCACGAAUCACAAGAGAUCUAAUGUUUGAUCGGACGCAUAAAAGGCGAAUACAUAUAUCUAUAUAUAUUGUGUGUGUAUCUAUAUGUAUACAUCCUGCAUAUCACACAUUUUUGUGAUCAUUUAUUUCUACUUAUCUUCUCUAACUCCAAUCAUUUAUAUCCAUGGAUUUAUUGCAUUACCUUGAAUUGCUCUUCUACAAAGUAAUUGACGAUAACACUCAUACAAAUCAUCAUAGAGAGUAUUUUCUUGUUCGUAUUGUUGCGUUUAUAGACAAUUCUAUAAGCACAUGAACACAUGAGAAUGAGAUGUAACAUCAUGGUUUGUCUAUGUACCUGCUCUCCCAUUAUAUCCAACAUUCUAU
RNAcentral lists this long non-coding RNA (76729 nucleotides) under Nicotiana tabacum (common tobacco). Its description in RNAcentral is "long non-coding RNA (NTAB_LNC017203)". The record is from RNAcentral. Lineage: Eukaryota; Viridiplantae; Streptophyta; Magnoliopsida; Solanales; Solanaceae.